AAACAACAGACAAGGUCUCGAAAUUAUCAGGGUCCUCCAAAUACAACUUCAAAUCAGCUGCCCUUUUCGCAGUACCGAACCUUACACAUGGAGCUCUAGUCAUACCAUCUUUCAAUAGAACACUUGUAGCUCCACCAGACAAAUGAAUAGCCUUACAGCCCCUAUUAGUGCUAGCCACCAAGCACCCUUCCGUGGUUGCCAUAGGAACCGAGUACUCUCUUCCAUUAACCAACAAAGGCCCGGAAAUUCCAACGGGAAUUUGCACGUAGCCAACCGGCAUCUCACAACACUGCCCCAAAAUCGACUCGUAAUCAAACCCAUCCAAGGGCAAUCCUGAUAACGACUUCCCUGUUAAUCUUUGCAACGCUUCCCGCCUGAUUGCGGCCGCCCUCUUGCAAUCACCCAAUUUCGAUUCCAAGGAAUACGAAGGGGUUGUUCCAGCAACUACAGAUUUAAUUAUUUCUUCAUCUUCCUCCGUUAGUACCGUCACAGGCUUUUCAUCGAACACUUUCUGGGCAGUCACGAUUGGUGCCGCAGGAGGCAAAGGAGGAAGCAAGCAAUCAAGAGCUUGUCCGCAAGGGACCUUACGGGCAUCCUCUUUUGCAAGCAAAACUUCGUUUUCCUCUUCCUCGUCUUCGGCAAUCCAAUCGUCAGACGAUGGCCGGAAAACCAAAGAUUGAACGAAGUCAAGCCCAAAGAAACCCAAAAGGUAAAUAAACGAUGCGAAAAACGCGAGAAUCGCGAUGAUCUCAGAAAAGGUGACGACAUGGAGAGGCGUGGAGGUACGGAUCUUCUCACGCCAACGGGAAAGAAGGAAAUAAACCACCGAGAAGAAGAGGGUAAAGAACACCGCAUUCGUCAGAUGAAAAGGAAGCGGCAAUGCGUCGGAGGCUUUAGUGGGAUCUUCCUCUAAAGGAAUCUUCUUCGUGGGCUUGAGAGAUUGAACUCGUUUAGUCGAAUACAGCCGGGGAGCCUCCAUUUUGGGUGUCGACGGCGGCGGAAACCCGGCGGUGGAGGAGGAGAAUAGAAGAGGAAUGAAAGUAAGAGAUGAUUUCAGUUAGUUUUACGAUUAUGGUGAAGGUGGAGCUUGAGAUGCUAGAGUUUAGGGAGGGAAGGGGAGUAUUUAUAGGAUAAAGAGUAAAGAGAGCGUGAGGAAAAAGGCGCGUGAAGUGAAGAUGGGGCAGUGUUUGGCACUUGUUAGUGUGGAGCUUUACCAAGAGAAGAGUCAAAGAAAGAAUUAUAGGGAUAGUGUUUGGAAGCGUGCAGUGCAUGGGAGCAACGUCGUCAGCACAUCCUGGCUGCUUCAUUUUCAUUUAGGGUAAACUACACAAUCAGUCACUAAAGUAUGGGUACGUUUUUGUUUUGAUCACUGAACUAAAAAAGUUACAAUUUUGUUACUGAACUAUUCAAAAGUUUCCAUUUAAGUCACUGAGCUGUUAAAAUCGAUGCUACACAGCUUUUUCUCUUCACACUGCCUACAUGAAUCGGAAGUUCUCUUUCCCUUUCUUUUUUACGAUUCAAUUUUUUUCUACAACUUUUUUCUUCGUUAGAAAAUGACCUUCAGAUCGACUUGAAUCUAAGAUAUGUUCUUUUACUUGCUAAUGGGUAUUGAUCCACUGUACCAGUCGUUGAGUCGUCACUUGGAGCUCGUUGACAGAAUUUUUAAAAAAAAAUAGUUAACAACCUAGUGACUUAAACAAUUUUUUUUGAAUAGUUCAAUGACUUAAAUGAAAAAUUUCAAAUAUUUUAGUGACCAAAUUGUAACUUUUUAGUUAAGUGACCAAAACGAAAACUUAUCCAUAAUUUAGUGACUAAUAAUAUAAUUUUCCAUUCAUUAUAUUUGGUCUUUCUCCCUAUUUUGAUAUUUUCUGUCACGUGUUUUUCAUUAUUGUAUGGGUUUAAUUAUUCCUUAUUUUGGGUUGUUUUUCAUAAUAAAUUAUCCAAAUAAAUAUUAACGCUGUUGUUAAGUUAUAUACAUUUUUGGGCAAAUGUCUAUUAAAAGAAAUAGAAAUGAAAGAAAGUCGUAUUUAUUAUUAGCAUAAUUUUUUUACCUUCCAAAUUUAUAAAAAAAUUAUUUAUUUUAUCUCUUUUAGUCUUUCAAUUUAUUUUUUUAUCAAAUUAUUUCAAAAUGAAUUAAAAAGUUAAAAUUCUUUAACUUUGUUGAUGUUACAUACACGUGGAUUACCAUCUAGAUAACACAUAAAUAUUUAAAAUCUUAAAAACAUUAACAAAUAUAUAUUUUUAUAAUUUUAUACUUUUAUAAUACUUUUAUUGGUUUUUAAAUUUUAAAAAUAGUUUUUAAAAAUAUAUUUUUAAAAUUUUAAAUUUAAAAAAAUUAAUUAAAUACCGGCGUGUUAUCCACGUGACAAUGCACGUGUAUUCAAGUAAGCAAAGUUAAACAACAUCAACUUUUUCAUUCAUUUUGAGGUAAUUUGAUAAAAAAAUUAGUUUAAGAGCUAAAAAAGGACAAAAUUAAAUAGAAAACUAAAAUGACAUUUUUUUGUAAAGUUAAAGAAUCAAAUAAAUUAUUAUGCCUUUAUUAUUUAAUAAAAUUUAUGCAAAGUAGGACUUUGACUUGAAUUCAUAAUUAAUUUUGAUUUUUUCCUUUUGCUCGUAAUUAAUUGGAUAAGUUUAUAAUUUAAAUUAAUAUGUAAAAAAAUUAAAAUAUAGAGCUUUCACAGCUCAUUUUUCCUUUUUAGAUUAUUAUUUUUUUGCAUGUUUAUUAAAUUAAAGUUCAAAUUUGACAUUUUUAAUAUUUUAAUAUAAUCAAAUUAGACCUAUUUUAUAUUAAAUAAAAUCUAACCCAUUCUUUAAUCCUUAAUUUUCACGUUUCUGUAUUUUUUUCCCAUCAAUUCAAGCAGCCUCUUGCUCUGUAGUCAUAUGUAUGUAUAUAUGACAAUAAUUAUUAUUCGGUUUACGUGGACUUUUAUACAAUAAUGAAGAUUUUUUUUAGGGUAAAUUAUUAAAACAUCAUUUCAAAAAUCAAGUGUAAUAAACAAAAUCCUUAAUCCAAUAAUAAUAAUAAUAAUAAAUUGGAUCUUUGAAUUAUCGUUUCUAUCACGACUCUUGAUAAUUAAUUACUGACAUGAUAAGUGAUGUGGUGGGUGACAUGAAACUUUUGAUGAUAUGGUGGUUGAUAUGGAGGACUUAAUUGAUUUUUGUUAUUAUUUUAGGAGGCUUAAUUGAUGUUUAAGGAUUAUAUAACAAUUCUUAAGAAAUUAUUGAAAAUUAUUAAAAAAACAAAAAUGGAAAGAAAAUAUUAAAAUUAUUAUAAAAUUUUAGCUAAAAGUUAUUAAAAUAUUUAAAAAAUGUUGAAAAUUAUACAACUAUAGAAUUUAUUAAAUAUCAUAAAAUUUUAAAACUAUUAUUAAUAUGUUAUGAAAAUAAUGGAAAUAUUAAAUUAAUAUUAUAAAAAAUUUAGAAAUGAUAGGAAAUGAUAUAAAAACAAUUAAAAUGAUAAAAAAAUAAAAAUAAAAAUUAUUGAAAGUAUAAAAAAUUUGAGUUAAGGUAGUGAUUGUAUAGACGAUAAAAAUUUUAUAUGCUUAAAAGUUAAUGACAUGGUUUAUUCUAUUCGUGCCUAAAAACAUUAAUUUAUAAAAUAAUUUAUUUUUAUAAAUAUUAAUAUAUACACUUUUUUAGAUUGAUAUGAUAGAAAAAUCGAAUCGAUUAAAAAUUUUACAAUAAAAUGAUUUAAAAAAAAAAUAAAGAAUGUUUUUUGGGCUACGUAAAAGAAUAUUGAUCACUCUAUAAGACUGGUUUUUUAUAUCCUUUUGCAUAUAUUUUAGUAGAUAAGGGAGAAAUUAUUUUCUUUACGCCUCUGGUUUCUAUACGGCUGAAAUUUUCAUUCAGUCAAUGACAUGAAUUUCAAAAUAGGAUGCCUAUUUAAUUUUUAUAAAUACAAAUGAUUGUACCCAAAUAUAAUAAUUUGCAUGCGUAUAUAUAUUUGAAUAAUUUCUGAUAGUUCUCUUUAAUAUUACUUAUAGUCUAUUCCCAGCUCAUAAAUAGGAGGAUAAUGUGAUUCAGCAUACUCAAACCCACGUCAUCUUGCAUUGAAAACAAUAAUCAUACUAAUCGAACUAAGACUCAAUCAACAAUUUGCAUAAUUCAUGCAAUUGGUGAUUAUUAUAAAACAACAUUCAAUAAAUAUUAAUAUUCAAAUGUUAAAUUUAUAAUUGUUUGUGCUAUUUUAGGUUCCAACAAGUUAAAAAUUCGUGUUGGGUUAGUUUUUUUUAUAUAUAUGUUUCUGGAGAUCUGUUAAAGGAUGCAGUCAAUUAUCAGGAGUCACUCUCGAAGGGUCUUAUCAUAUAAUAGAACACAAUAAUGGUAUUUGUUAAAAUUGGAAUCUAAGAUGGUGAAAAGGAGGAUAGCCACCUUUGACUUAACCUUUUGUACAUUAUGGAUGCGAUGAGUCUCUUGAUUGAUCGAAGUUUAUUGUCAGCCUUUUGUACAUCACAGAUGCAGUGAGUCUCUUGACAGAUAUUUCUUGGUUGACUGGAGUUUAUUGUCAGGUUGGUUUGAUGAUGGCACGAUUAAGAUACAAUUUUCAAUGGUUUGAUCAAGAUGGUACAUUUUUUGUUUGUUUUUGAAUUCUUUUAGAGUUACGAAUAUUUUACAAACAUAUAACAUAUGAGCAUCAAUUUAUAAUUUAUUAUAUCCCAUAUUUUUAUAUUCUUAUUAUUCAUGAUUGCUAUUAAUGAUAUGUUUUCUUUGUACAUAUAUGAAAUAGACGAUAAGAUUGAAGUAAUUUCUUUUUCCAAAAUAAUAAGCAUGCAUGAGAAUUGUUCAUCGCCAUGUGCUAAAGACUUGGACUGUUUGUCAAAGUUCUCUUCAAAAAAAUCAUAUAACUCACAAUGAAAGUUUAUAUAUAUAUAUAUAUAUAUAUAUAUAUAAGCAUAGUCAGGCCAACCAAUGUAGAAAAAAACUAACAUGAUAUCAUCUUUUCUUAUUGCCCAGUAUUUAUUUAGCAAAUAUUGACUGUAAUAUUGUCAUGAUUAGACCAUAUUAUUUUUGGACAAGAACAAGGUCAUUUCCAGUAAAUUCAAAAUAAAAUAUUAACUUAGUUUUAAAAUUAGAUUAAAAAGACAAUGUAACCCAAAAAGUUCAAAUAAGCCCCUAUUUUAAUAAAAUCAGUAGGUUCAAAUUUAAAAUUUCGAACAAAAUUAGGUGUCUAUAUAGAUAUUUUGUUAAAUACCAAAAUUUCCAAUGAAUUAUCAAAAUUUCUAAACUUAUACCAGAAUACCAAAAUUUCUAAAGUAAUAGUUGAUAUACCAAAGAUAUUACGUUAUAUGCCACAAUUUUAAGGGAAUACCAAUAUUUCUAAGCAAUCUCAUUAGAAAUUUUGGUAUACCAAAUCAUGUUACACAAACUUUUACCAAAAUUUCUAAGAGUUCAACAUUUUAGAUCACAAUUUCAAAGUAAAUAUCAAUAUUUCUAAGGAACCUCAUUAGAAAUUUUGGUAUACCAAAAUCAUGUUGCACAAGCCUAUACCAAGAUUUUUAAUGAAAUGCUAAAAUUUCUAAGCGCAUAUCUUUAGAUAUUUUGGUAUACCCAAAUCGCGUUAUAGAAGCUUUUACCAAAAUUUCUAAAAGAAUAGUAAUAUUUCUAAGGAACCUUGCUAGAAAUUUUGGUAUAUCAAAAUCAUGUUACACAAGCCUAUACCAAAAUUUUCUAGUGAAAUACCAAAACUUCUAAGCACAUAUCUUUAGAUAUUUUAGUAUAUGCUUCAAUUUCUAAGGGUACCAAUAUUUCUAUGGAACUUUGUCAAAAAUUUUGGUAUGCCAAAAUCAUUUUACACAAGAUUUUACCAAAAUUUCUUAGAGCUUAACCUUAGAUAUUUUGGUAUGUAGCGCAAUUCUUAAGGGAAUAUCAAUAUUUCUAAACAACCUCGUUAGAAAUUUUGGAAUACUAAAAUUAUGUUACACAAGCCUAUAUUAAUAUCUUUAAUGAAAUAUUGAAGUUUUUAAGAGCUUAUCCUUAGAUGUUUUGACAUAUACCACUUUUUGUAAGGGAAUACCAAUAUUUCUAUAGAACUCUGUUAAAAAUUUUAGUAUACCGAAAUCUAGAUUUACAAACUUAUAUCAAGAAUUCUAACAAAAUACCAAUAUUUCUAAUAGCAUAUCCUUAAAUAAUUUGAUAUAUUCCAAAAUUUAUAAUGGAAGACCAAAAUUUCUAUAACUUUCAAUGAACUACAGUUCUUGGUAAAUCUAUAUACCUAUAUAUAUAUAUAUAUAUAUGAAAGGAAAAACAUCCUCCUUUUCUUGAUAGAUGGCACACCUAAAAUCAAUGGCGGACGUUAUAGAUGGCACACCUACAAUCAAUGGCGGAGUCAAGUAGAGGCUUAGGGGACCAUGACCUCCCAAAGUUUAAUUUUUUUUAAUUUAGUCCUUUGUAAAUAUACUAUGGCCCUUCCUAAAAUAUAAGUAGAUCCUCCUAAAGUUUAAGAUUUUUGCAAUUUCCCCCUUUAUAUAUAUUAUGGUUCUCCUAAAAAUAUAAAUACUCCCCUCCAAUAUUUUUAUAGUAUUAAAAAUAAAAUUAAAAAAAUUAUUCUUGAUAAAAACAAAGAAAAAUAUUCUUGAAGAUGCUAAAUUACUCAUGAUGACUUUUGAAUGAUAUUUUUGUUAAAAAAUAAUAAAUCAAUUGUUAUAUUGAAAUACUCCUUCUUUUGAAUUGAUUGUUUAUAUGUUUAAAUCGAUUGUUACGUAACACGUCUAAUUUUAGCAUGAUCCCCUCCAAAAUUAACAUCUUGGCUCCGCCACUGCCUACAAUACUCCUUUUAUUUUGCAUUCAAUAAAAAAAGUUAAAUUUCAAUUUCGGUUCAUCUAAUAUGCCUAAACUUGAGAUUUAAUAUAUAUACUUUAAUUUCUAACAUAAUUUGGUUUCUAUAUAUUAUUAUAAUAUUAUUAAUCAGUUCAAAUAGUUAAUAUUAUUCACUUUUCAAUUAAAAUAUUAUAUGGUUAUAUAUAAUUUGAAUACCUUAAUAGUCUUGGAGGCUAACAUACAGCUUUUUGUUUCAUUUAAGUUCGUGUCAUUUUUUUAACAUUAUAAGAUAAUGGUCAAAUUUUAUUUUUGGCCUCUAGACUAUGUUAAAACUUGAGAUUAAUCUAUAUACUUUAAUAUUUUACAUAAUUUGGGCUAUCUACUUUUAUAAUGUCAUUAGCUGGUCUAAAUAAUUAAUAUUAUUAACUAUUUUAAUUAAAAUGUUGGGUAAAUUUUUCUUAAGAACAUUAUUUCAAGAAGAAAAAAAUUAUUUUAUCGAAUUUAAAUGAGUGUUUUUAAGAGAAACUCCUAAUCAAUAUUUUUAACAUUAUUUUUAUUGUUACAUGACUAUUAAGGGAAUCUUUUUAUUUUAAAAUGUCCACCAGAGAAUUUAAUAUAAUAAUUUUAUCGAUGGUAACAAUUGAGCUAAAAUUUUUAAUUUGAAAAGUAGAUAAUUAUGUUCUUAAAAAUAAAAGUAAGACUAAAUUUCAAAUGAACAAAGUGUAUCAGGUCUUAGAGUAUAUUUUAAUCUUCAAAUUUUUACUUUAUAAUUUCACACAAAUAAAUAAUCAACUUAACGUGAAGCAUGAGAUGAGAACCUUAUUAGUAUUUUUCAAAAGUUGCUUAAUGCGCUUUAAAAGUUAUCAAGUAUUUUACAUUAAGGCAAAAAAAAAGAGAGAGAGUAAACUACACUCAAUUUCACUAAACUACUAGUAAAUUUACAUUUAGGUUACUCAACUUCAGAAAGUUAUAAAAUGAUCAUUGAACUAUUUGAAAGUUUUCAUUUAACUUGGCGGACUGUUAAAAUCAUUGAUGUAUGGCCUUUCCUAUUUGCAUCGCAAACACCAAUUGAAAGCUUUCCUUCCCUUUCUCUUCUACAUUUCAAUUUUUUUUCAUGAAAUAACUUUGAACGUGACAAAUCUGUAAACAAAAAUCUAAACAGCUUUCUUCUUUAAUCUCUAACACUAAUCGUCAGAUCAACUUGAAUAUAAUGCAUGUUCUUCUACUCAUCAAUUGGUACAGAUCCAUCGUACUGAUCGUUGAACCAUUGCUUGGAGCUCGCUAGCUUGGCCUUUUAAAAAAAAAAAAACCCUUUAUAACCCAAUGACUUAAAUGAGAGUGACCAUUCUGUAAUAUUUUGAAGUUGAGUGAUUUGAAUAUAAACCUACUAAUAGUUAUCUUUGGUUUAGUUUACCCAAAAAUAUAUAUUAUAUAUAGUUAAUAUAUGUCAUAAGUCCCUAUACUAUUCAUAAAAUUGAAAUUUAAUCCAUCUUAAUUUCUAGAAAUUUAAUCCUAUACUUUAAAGAUUUUUCAAAAUUCAAAUUCAAUUGUUAACAUUGUUAAAAUUAUUUUAUUAAAUUCAUGUUCGUUAUAACAUUAUAUUUCUAUCAAGUGAGUUUUUUUUUAAAUGUCACGCCAAUAAAUUUUAAAAAAAAAUAAUGUUAACAAGUGUACCAAUAUUUUGAAAUCUCAAGAGUAGAAGAAUUAAAUUCUUGAAAAUAAAAAGCAUAAGAACUAAAUUUGAAAUUUAUGAAGAGUACAAUGAUUUAUGACAUAUAUAAACCUAUAUAUAAUAAAAGAAAGGAAAAAACAAAAAUACCAAAUAAAUACCAACAAGUGUUAAGGACAACAUAUCGCAUAGGAGACACAAGUUUAAAUUUUGAACACAAUAUAGUUAGGAGAAGCAGCCAUAAACCCAAACACAAACAGUAAAAGGGACAUUUAAAAUACCAAAAAAAUUACAAAAUAAAUAAAAAAAAACUACAAAGGGAAGUUUAUGCUGCAAGAGAUGAAACGCUGUGGACCAACUAAUUUUUACUCGUCAACUAAUUGGGUAUAGAUCCUUUGUUCCAUAUUCAUCAUCUACCAUUGUAAGAUAUGGCUUCCAAGGCCUCCCUGACGGUAUCAGAGUAAUUCUGUGCCUCUCUAAUGAAAUUAAUUGAUGACGGUUGGCCGGCUCGAAACACAACCUCAUUUCUCAUUUUCCGGAUAAUAAACAGACACCCAAAAGUUAAGACUGUAUCCUGAUCACUGAAGACAACCAGUGAGAGAUAUUAUACCGUGACAAUAAAUGGGAUGUACAUCUAAGCUAGACACAAGGAGAUAUGUCUCCUUAGUACUUUCUACCAUUGGAGAUUGCAACUUUACCCCCAAAUAUCAGACUAUCGUUACGUUUUCUCUAUGAAGAAGCCUUGGACACAUCCUUAGUUGACCUAUUGUACUUCAUAUGGCUCUUAACUAAUUGUCCUGCUGCAAUUGCAGACAUAAGCGACAGCUCCCCUGCAAGAACAGCAGACGCUACAAUGGUUGCCAGCGUCCUAGAGUUUGCUCCUGGUGUCUCUUUGCUUGCACCCUUCACUCCAAGUAAGUUCAAACAGGCUGAUUGAGAUGCAAGCUGAGUUCCACCACCAACAGUCCCAACCUAAAAGAUACAGCAACACAGAUUAUUAGAGACUAACAUAAAUACCCAGAUUUUGUUUUGGCAACGAAAGUCCUUGUGUUGGAUAAUCAGACAGCAACACUAUCAAUUACCUCGAUGGAAGGCAUUGUGACAGAGACGUGGAGGUCCUUUCCAUCAUUAACAGCUUCCAUCAUCGUGAUGCAAUGCGAGCUCUCGACAUUUUGAGCCGGAUCUUGGCCGGUAGCUAUGUAGAUUGCAGCAACGAUGUUACUGGCGUGAGCGUUGAAUCCACCCAGAGCUCCAGCCAUAGCUGAUCCAGUAAGGUUCUUAAGCAUGUUAAGCUCAACGAGAGAUUCCACACUUGUCUUCAAGACCUUCCUAACCACAUCACCCUUAAUGGUGGCUUCACAGACAACAGAUUUGCCUCGUCCUUCAAUCCAAUUUACCGCAGCCGGUUUUUUGUCGGAACAAUAGUUUCCUAUAUGCGCAAAUUCAUAAAUAUCAGUGAUCCUAUGUCGGAACAGUGAAAGACAUAAUUACAAGCCUAUACAAAAAACUGAAACUCACCAGAGAUGCCGAUGACAUCCAUGUCAGGGAAAUCAGUUUGAAGGAAAUCCAAAACGUUUUGCACUCCCUUGGAAACCAUGUUCAUCCCCAUAGCAUCACCUGUACUGCAAGUGAAUCUAAUAUACAGAUUCUUUCCAGCAAUUGCACAUUUGAUACCUUGGAGCCUGCCAAAUCUACUUGAUCUGCAACCACCAAAAAGCCAAAAUUUUCAAUAUUAGCUUGAAUUUUAAAUCCAUCAAUAUGGAGUUCUAGAAAUAUCAACACAAACCUGUUGAAAACAACAGACAAGGUCUCGAAAUUAUCAGGGUCCUCCAAAUACAACUUCAAAUCAGCUGCCCUUUUCGCAGUACCGAACCUUACACAUGGAGCUCUAGUCAUACCAUCUUUCAAUAGAACACUUGUAGCUCCACCAGACAAAUGAAUAGCCUUACAGCCCCUAUUAGUGCUAGCCACCAAGCACCCUUCCGUGGUUGCCAUAGGAACCGAGUACUCUCUUCCAUUAACCAACAAAGGCCCGGAAAUUCCAACGGGAAUUUGCACGUAGCCAACCGGCAUCUCACAACACUGCCCCAAAAUCGACUCGUAAUCAAACCCAUCCAAGGGCAAUCCUGAUAACGACUUCCCUGUUAAUCUUUGCAACGCUUCCCGCCUGAUUGCGGCCGCCCUCUUGCAAUCACCCAAUUUCGAUUCCAAGGAAUACGAAGGGGUUGUACCAGCCACUACAGAUUUAAUUAUUUCUUCAUCUUCCUCCGUUAGUACCGUCACAGGCUUUUCAUCGAACACCUUCUGAACGGUCACGAUUGGUGCCGCAGGAGGCAGAGGUGGAAGCGAACAAUCGAGAGCUUGCCCGCAAGGGACCUUACGGGCAUCUUCCUUUGCAAGCAGAACUUCAUCAUCCUCUUCCUCGUCCUCGGCAAUCCAAACGUCAGGCGAUGGUUGGAAAACCAAAGAUUGAACGAAGUCAAUCCCAAAGAAACCCAAAAGGUAAAUAAAGGACGCUAAAAAUGAGAGAAUGGCGAUGAUCUCGGAAAAGGUGACGACAUGGAGAGGUGUGGAGGUACGGAUCUUCUCACGCCAACGGGAAAGAAGAAAAUAAACCACCGAGAAGAAGAGGGUGAAGAACAGGGCAUUCGUUAGGUGCAAGGGAAGCGGCAAUGCGUCGGAGGCUUUACCGUGAUCUUCCUCUAAAGGAAUCUUCUUCGUUGGCUUGAGAGAUUGAACAGGUUUAGUCGAAUACAGCCGGGGAGCCUCCAUAUUGGGUGUCGACGGCGCGGAAGCCCGGCAGUGGAGAAGGAGAAUAGAAGAGGAGUGGAAGUGAGAGAGGAUUUCAGUUAGUUUUACGAUUAUGGUGAAGGUGGAGUUGGAGAUGCUGGAGUUUAGGGAGGGAAGGGGAGUAUUUAUAGGACAGAGAGUAAAGAGUGGUGGAGCGUGAGGAAAAAGGCGCGUGAAGUGAAGUGUUGGGCCCGUGUGAGUGGGGAGUCAAAGAAAGAAUUUGAAGGGCAGUGUUUGCGUGCAGUGCAUGUGCAUGGGGGCGCAUUGCAUUUUCCUUUCGUUUGGUCUUAUCUCCGUUAACUGCUAUUUUGUAUCUCUUUUAAUUAUUCCUUAUUUUGGGCAUUCAUUAAUUAAUAUGAGACCAUAUUUAAACUUUUGAUGAAUGGUAGUGAUAAAUAUAUAUAAUCUCGAAUAUAAAUCGUAAAAUUAACAUUAAAUAAAUAAAUAUAUAUAAUAUAUGUGAUAAAAUUUAUCAUUAGUAAUAUAGAUAAAGAUCACAGUGGAAUUUACUUCUUCGAUAUUUACAUAUUAUUAGUUUUAUAAUUGUUUAUACAAUGUUUAAAAUUAUAUAUAGCUCCUCUUAAAGGAUAAUGCGCACUCACUGAGUUAGGACUCAAUCGAUAACAAUCUUACAAAUUUUAUUUUAUAUAAAAAGAAGAGCUUCCAUUUUUUAUUAAAAAAUUACAGAUACAAUUGUGUUUAUUUUGAACAAAUGAAUUAUUCAUAUGAAUAUACAUUUUAGGGUAAAUAUUUAUAAAAAUUAAUUUUUUAAACUGGUAUGGUGAUUAACUAUUUAUAUUUAGGGUUUUGCACAGUUUUGUAUACGAUGGUGUAUUAAAUCCUGUGAAAAUAUUUCAAUGGAGAAGGGAGAAUUCAGUCUAUGACAUGAAAUUCAAAAUAGGAUGCCUGCUUUAUUAUUAUAAAUAUUGAUUCAUGCCGUCACCAUUAUUAUUUUAAAUCCUCUAAAUGAUUUAUAUAUUUAUAUAAUUUUGGAUAAUUUAAUUUAUCUUUUAAUGGAAAUGUUAAAAAAAUAAACUAUUAAAAUAGUCACUUUUGUUUACCUUAUAUUACAUUUUAGUUGUUGUAACAUUUUAGUCACUGAGCGGUUAAGUGUCAUUAAUAAUAUAAUGGUAAGCUAAUAUGGCAUGUUAAAUCAUCAUUUCAAACAAAAAAUUCAGGUUAAAUUAUACAAUUGGUCCAAUAUUUCUCUGUUUUGAACAAUUUUUUUCUUUAUUUUCCAUUCUCUUUUAUUUCUCUCUUUGUUUUCCUCCCUUUUUCAUUUUUUUAACUUAAUUUUUCUAUGUUUUCUAUUUGUUAAAACUAGUCCCUAUACUUUUAUUUUUUUGAACAUUUUAAAAUUUUUAAUUUUCCUUUUCUUCUUCUCCUUUAGUUUUAACAAAUGAAAAAUAUAGAAAAAUUACAUUAAAAGAGAUAGAAAAGGGAGAAAAACAGAGGAAGAAGUAGAAGAGAAAGAAAAAUAAAGAAAUUAAAAUGCUCAAAACGAAAAUAAUAUGGGGACCAAAUAUAUAAUUUAACCUAAAAUUUUUGUUUGAAAUGAUGAUUUAAUGUGCCACAUCAGCUUACCGUUACAUCGUUAACGGCUCAGUGACUAAAAUGUUACAACACGUUAACAUAAAUGACUAAAAUGUAACAUUUCAAACAUAACUGACUAAAAUAUAAUAAACUAAAGCAAACAAAAAAGUGACUAUUUUGAUUGUUUCCCUUUAAUAAAUGGUUCAUUACAGUAAUAUAUUAAAUUUAUUCUUAUUUUGUAUUAUUUUUCACAUGUGUAAUAUUCUGAUUAUUUUUUAAUGUUUAAUGUACUAACGUUUAAAUUUAUUCCAUCAUAGCCCAAGAAAAAUAAUAAGAAAUAGACGAUAAGAUUGAAGUAAUAUUUUUUCCAAAAUAACAAGCUUGCAUUCAUGCAUGAGAAUUAUUCAUCACCAUGUGCUAAAGACUUGGACUGUUUGUCAAAGUUUUCUUCAGAAAAAUCAUAUAAUUUAUAAUGGAAGUAUAAGCAGAGUCAGACCAACCAAAGAAGAAUCAUGAUAUCAUCUUUUUUUAUUGCCCAGUAUUUAUUUAGCAAAUAUUGACCGUAAUAUUGUCAUGGUCAGACCAUAUUAUUUUUGCACAAGUGACGCACGAAUAUUCAGUGUAGACUUGCUCAAAACAGUAGGAAAUGAUGAACAAGGUCAUUUCGUAGAAAUUGCAGUCAAUGCUCAUAUUUUGGCUUAAUCCAGCUGGAGUUUAGGUAAAAAUUGAUUCAAAAUUGGAUAACUAUAUAUAUAAUAUUGAUAUCAUAAAUAAGUUAUUUUAAUCCAAGUCAGUUCAAUCCAUGAAUACCUUUAAUAUGUAUACAUGAUAUGAUAUGUGAAAAAUGAGCUCAACUCAUGAAUAUUUCUCAUAUGUAUGCAUGCUUGAUGCAUGAUAUGUGGAAAAUAACUUAACUUGUUGUAUAGGUUUUGUACGGAGUAUGGACGGCAUUUAUAAGUUCAUUUUUGGAACUUGUAUUUUAGAGUGCAGUUGAGAACGUAAAUAAGUUUGUUGAAGUUUUCAGGGGGAGAAUUUAGAGGUGAGUAAUCUAGAUCUUUUGGUACAAAGUGAGGUUGCUCUAGCAGGAUGUGAUAAGACUUGAAUCAUUUGGUGUAUUGGGUUAAAAGAUAGUGGAUUUACUUACUAAGUUAGGCUUCACAAAUAAAGUAAAACUAAACUACGUAAACAACCUUUUGUGUUCUUGUUUUGUUGUUUUUGUCACAAUGCUACCUUCAAUUGGCAUAUCGCAAUUGAAGAAGCAAAAGUUUGUCUGGAAGAAGAAAGAUCCUAAGUGCUUGAUGUACAGUGUUUCGGUAAUGGUUGCUUUCAUCACAUGAUAGGUAAUCAUGCAUACUUUUCUAAUUUUGGAGAUCAUCAUAAGGGUCUAGUCACAUUUGGUGAUGGUAAGAAAUGUCAUAUCCAUGGAAACGGAACACUUAAUGUCCUUGGAAUGCUAAAGUUGAAGAAUGUGUUGAAAGGUCAUAUUGUUAAUGACUUGAAAGCUAAUUUGGUGAGCAUUAUCUAAAUGUGUGACUAAGGCAUGAUUAUCAAUUUCACCAAAGACAAGUAUCUGGUUUCAUCAAAGUCUUAUGAGAAGACUAAUGUUUCUAACUUAGAGUUGUGGCAUGAGAAACUUAGCCACAAUCAUUACAAAGGGCUCCGAAGAUUGGUUUGAUAUGUUGCUGGAAUAGGCAACCCAAAACUAGGUGGUGUCAUUCCUAAAGUCCGUUAUGGAUGCUUGAAAGUUAGAGAGGAUCACAUGGAGAAUCAUCAAAGGUUGUCACAUAUCCAAAUUAUUGCAUCUCUCAAGUUACUACACAUAGAUCUCAUUGGACCUAUGUGAAUCGAGAGCAUUGGAGUAAACCGUUAUGUCCUAGUCUAUGUAGAGGACUUUUCAAGGUACACAUGGGUGAGAUUUUUUAGAGAAUUCUAACACAUCUAAAGAAUUCAGGAAACUAUGCAGAAGAUUUUGUCAAUUUUUAUGACGAGGAAAUGAUCAAACUAAGGCACCGCAAUAUAAUGGAGUUAUGGGACACAAGAACCGUACCAUAUAGGAGAUGGCAUGAGUGUUGCUUAACAACAAAAGAGUUACUCAUAAGUUUUAAGUUGAGGCAGUGAACAUUGCAACCUAUAUCUUUAACAAAGUUCUUACUAGGCGAAAAACUCACAUGACACUUUGUAAGAUGUGAAAUGGGAGGAAGCCAAAUGUCAAGUAUUUCCAUGUGUUUAGAAGUACCUUGAUAGGUGUCGAAUCCACCAAAAAUGAAAUCCUACCCCUAAACAGGAUAUAAAUUAGAAGUUUAAGGAGUAAGGUCGAUCCCACAAGGACUAAUUUAUAUGAACUUGUAGUUUGUUAUAACCAGGACGUAUCGUAAGCAGUUUUGUGCCCAUGAUUUAUGCUAACCUAUACGAAAUAGAAAGAAGGAUUAAAUAUGAAUGUAACUAAAUGUCAAAAAUUAAAUAAUAAUAAUGCAAUAGAAAUAAUCAAAUCAGAAUUAAAAUUGAAUAACCUAAUAAGAUGGAUUUUGACUCUGGCUUUGGAUUGAUCCCAAACAAUGGAUUUUUUCCUCCAAUUGAUAAGUCGGGUAUAGUGACCAAGGAACAACCUCAAAUACCAACCCUUUCGUAUGUAAAUUAACUGCGGGAACAACUCUAAGUUAACCCGUACCAGGUAAAUAACACUGAAAGCAACUUCCAUGAUUUCAUUCCUUGACAACCUCGCGAACUAGAGGGACUCAGCUCAAAUUGACAGCCUCAAUUGCAUGGGUCCACACGCCUACUACCUUUUCCAUCUUUGAUUUUCCAAGUUCUUUUGAAGCAAAAUCCAAGGUUUGUUUGAGCCACAGAGCAUCUUGAAAGAGAAGUUGCUAAGUUGAAAUUCUCUCCAAAAUGGCUCGAGGGAAAACAUGAAUCAAUAGCCCCAACUGAUCUAACUGAAGGAGAAGAAAAAGUUGAAUCUGACCUUGAAACUGUAGCAAUUGCUCCUAUAGUGACUAUUUCAGCAGGUCUUGUGAGCAACCUAGCAGGAUUCAAUCAAAGGAUGGUUAGCAUUUUACUGCUUCUAUUGACUCUCAAAAUUGAUUCAUCUCCAAACUUCGAACUGAAAUCCAAGUCAUUCAACAGAUUCGAGAUCAAGAAAUUGCUUUCCGCAAUGAUUUAUUAACUCAUUCCGAACAAUAAUGUUUGACAUAUUUUUAAAAAAAAGGGAAGUAAAGAGGAAGGAGAUGAUGGCUAAGAUGGUGGCAAGUUGAUUGCUCCUACUAAUGGGAGUUUAUUUUACUUUUGGUUAUUACAAGCUUCAUUUCAUUUUGGGUAUUUCUUUUGAAAUAUUUGUAAUGAUGAACUUUUCUAAUGGAUGGAUGGAUUUUAUUUUGGCGUACAAACUCUUAUCUUCAUCUUACUUAGAUAUAAUUUUAGUAUUUAGAUUGUUGAUACAAAUACUUAAAAGGCAUUAAUGGUUGAUUUACUUGAUUAUGUUUUAAGUUAAGUGUGACGGAUAAGGGGAUUGUACUAAGGGGAAGCAUUUUUUGUUACUGUUGAUAAGCUUCCUAAUUUGAAUUGGUUUUGUUCAAAAAAUUGUAGAAGCAAGUUUCAAAAGUGGCCAGCAAAGUGCCAACGGUAGUGGCCACUAUAGAUAGCAUUGCAAUAGACUCUAUUACUAGCCAUGUUUAGAGUUAGCUUGAAAACGAUGAUGAUAUUAUGAAAAUAUGAAAGUCCAUAUUAUAUUAGUUUUUAUUAUUUAUUGCAUUUUGCUAGUUUAGCUGGUGACACGUUCAAUAAAUAUAAUUUUAAAGGUAUUUUUGUUUUUUUAACUGCAAACUGUUUGGGCAAUAAAUUUAUUUCAAAAGUUGCUUUCAAAUGCUUUAAAAGUUACGGUGUAGUUUACACUAUUCUCAGGUUACAUGGCCUGAAUUUGUCUUUAAAAGAAAGGAAAGAACAAAAUACAAAAUGAAUAAAGAAAAAUCUUUCUGUUCUGUAUAAUCUAUCUACUCCCAUUUACCCGUAGGGUGGCGUUCUUCCGUUCAAUUUCAAUGGCAUUGAUAGAGGGCAGCUUCCACAAGAUGAGUUUAAUCAUCGCCAACUAAUCGUGAAUAACCAAUAUUAAUAAAUAAUCUCCAUUCUUCUCAACCGCCAUAACUGCUCCAUCAACCUGCUAUGUCGGGUGAAAUGGGAACGUACACCUGAGCUACACAAAGGGAUAUAUCUCCUUAGUAAGUUUCUACCAUGGGAGAUUGCCACUUUACCCCCAAAUAUAAGGCCAUCAUUACGUUUUCUCUAUGAAGAAGCCUUGGACACAUCCUUACUUGACCUAUUGUACUUCAUAUGGCUCUUGACUAGUUGCCCUGCUGCAAGUGCUGACAUGAGUGACAGCUCCCCGGCAAGGACAGCACCUGCUACAAUGGUUGCCAGCAUUCUAGAGUUUGCUCCUGGUGUCUCUUUGCUUGCACCCUUCACUCCAAGUAAGUUCAAACAGGCUGACUGAGAUGCAAGCUGUGUUCCACCACCAACGGUACCAACCUAAAAGAUACAGCAACAGAUAUAAUUAGGGGGAUUCAUAAAUACCCAGAUUCUGUUUUGGUAAUGAAAAUCCUUGUGAUGGAUAAUCAGACAGCAACAUAAUCAAUUACCUCGAUGGAAGGCAUUGUGACAGAGAUGUGGAGGUCCUUGCCCUCGUUAACAGCUUCCAUCAUAGUGAUGCAAUGAGAGCUCUCAACAUUUUGAGCCGGAUCUUGGCCCGUAGCUAUGUAGAUUGCAGUGACGAUGUUACUGGCGUGAGCAUUGAAUCCACCCAGAGCUCCAGCCAUAGCUGAUCCAGUAAGGUUCUUGAGCAUGUUAAGCUCAACGAGAGAUUCCACACUUGUCUUCAAGACCUUCCUAACCACAUCACCCUUAAUGAUGGCUUCGCAAACAACAGAUUUGCCUCGUCCUUCAAUCCAAUUUACAGCCGCUGGUUUUUUGUCGGAACAAAAGUUUCCUAUAUGGACAAAUUCAUAAAUUUCAGUAAUCCUAUAUAGAACAGUAAAAACAUAGAACACAAUUACAAGUCUAUGGAAAAGUGAAACUCACCAGAGAUGCCAAUGACAUCCAUGUCAGGGAAAUCAGUUUGAAGGAAAUCCAAAACAUUUUGGACUCCCUUGGAAACCAUGUUCAUCCCCAUAGCAUCACCUGUACUGCAAGUGAAUCUAAUAUACAGAUUCUUUCCAGCAAUUGCACAUUUGAUACCUUGGAGCCUGCCAAACCUACUUGAUCUGCAACCACCAAAAAGUCAAAAUUUUCAAUAUUAGCUUGAAUUUUAAAUCCUUCAAUAUGGAGUUCUAGAAAUAUCAACACAAACCUGUUGAAAACAACAGACAAGGUCUCGAAAUUAUCAGGGUCCUCCAAAUACAACUUCAAAUCAGCUGCCCUUUUCGCAGUACCGAACCUUACACAUGGAGCUCUUGUCAUACCAUCUUUCAAUAGAACACUUGUAGCUCCACCAGACAAAUGAAUAGCCUUACAGCCCCUAUUAGUGCUAGCCACCAAGCACCCUUCCGUGGUUGCCAUAGGAACCGAGUACUCUCUUCCAUUAACCAACAAAGGCCCGGAAAUUCCAACGGGAAUUUGCACGUAGCCAACCGGCAUCUCACAACACUGCCCUAAAAUCGACUCGUAAUCAAACCCAUCCAAGGGCAAUCCAGAUAACGACUUCCCUGUUAAUCUUUGCAACGCUUCCCGCCUGAUUGCGGCCGCCCUCUUGCAAUCACCCAAUUUCGAUUCCAAGGAAUACGAAGGGGUUGUACCAGCCACUACAGAUUUAAUUAUUUCUUCAUCUUCCUCCGUUAGUACCGUCACAGGCUUUUCAUCGAACACCUUCUGAACGGUCACGAUUGGUGCCGCAGGAGGCAGAGGUGGAAGCGAACAAUCGAGAGCUUGCCCGCAAGGGACCUUACGGGCAUCUUCCUUUGCAAGCAGAACUUCAUCAUCCUCUUCCUCGUCCUCGGCAAUCCAAACGUCAGGCGAUGGUUGGAAAACCAAAGAUUGAACGAAGUCAAUCCCAAAGAAACCCAAAAGGUAAAUAAAGGACGCUAAAAAUGAGAGAAUGGCGAUGAUCUCGGAAAAGGUGACGACAUGGAGAGGUGUGGAGGUACGGAUCUUCUCACGCCAACGGGAAAGAAGAAAAUAAACCACCGAGAAGAAGAGGGUGAAGAACAGGGCAUUCGUUAGGUGCAAGGGAAGCGGCAAUGCGUCGGAGGCUUUACCGUGAUCUUCCUCUAAAGGAAUCUUCUUCGAUGGCUUGAGAGAUUGAACAGGUUUAGUCGAAUACAGCCGAGGAGCCUCCAUAUUAGGUGUCGACGGCGGCAGAAGCCCGGCAGUGGAGAAGAAGAAUAGAAGAGGAAUGGAAGUGAGAGAGGAUUUCAGUUAGUUUUACGAUUAUGGGGGAAGGUGGAGUUUGAGAUGCUGGAGUUUAGGGAGGGAAGGGGAGUAUUUAUAGGAUAGAGAGUAAAGUGUAGAGAGAGCGUGAGGAAAAAGGCGCGUGAAUUGAAGUGUUUGGCACUUGUUAGUGCGGAGCUUUACCAAGUGAAGAGUCAAUGGAAGAAUUUCAAGGGAUGUGUUUGGAAGCGUGCGUGCGUGCGUGCAGUGCAUGUGCAUGGUGGGGCAUUGCAUAAUCCUUUCAUUUGUUCUUUUCUCCUGCCACAUUUGGAGAAAAUGCUGAUUUUAAAAAAAUAUUCAGGAAAAUAUUUUUUUUCCAAUAUUUAAAAAAAUAAGUUGAUUUUGAAAAAAAUAAUAAAGCAUAUUUUGCAGAAAUUGUUUUUUUGCUGAAAAAGCUCGUAGGAUUAGUUUCUACUUUUUUAAUACAUUAGCUCAUUUGGUUAGAUGAUUAAAUGUUAAUUAUUUUGUCUUUUAAGUCUCGAGUUUGAUUCUUCUCUUACUCACAUUUGUAUUCUUAUUUCAAGUCGUUUCAAGCUUUGCUUUUAUUUUUAAUUAUGGUUUUUAACACAUUAACUCCUUUUGUUAGAUUGUUAAAUAAUAGUGAUUUUUUUUGUGAAAGAAAGGAAACAAUACAAGCUAAAUCCUCAAAGGACGGUCCACAAACAAUCUUAAGCCUAGACUUCUAAUGCAAACAAUCUUGGCUAGGCUAUCCGCAAUUAGAUUAUUUCCCUUGGGAACAUGCUGAAUUUUCCACUGCUCUAGCUUUUUAAGCGUCUGAUGAAUUCUCCUAAUAAUGGUAGAAUUGGAGAUACCCGUAUCAUCUUCCAUGAUAUCUUUAAUAGCUUCAAUACUAUCAGUUUGAAUAAGGACAUUUUGGAAACACCUAUCUGCCAUAAGAUUCAGCCCAUCCAAAAACCCCCAGAGCUCUGCCUCCAACACUGAACAAUUACCCAAAUAUCUCGCGAACCCUAUAAUUCACUCUCCCUUGUAAUCUCUCACGCAACCUUCCGCAGCUGCAAAGCCCUCGUUAAUCCUAACUGAACCAUCAGUGUUCAAAUAAACCCAACUGUAGGAGAUAUGGCAAUUAGGUAGAGUUCUUUGGGCUUCAAACUUUGAGAUCGAGGAAACAGAGGAAUACUAUUUAACCCAACUAAACUAGAUUUUAAUAAUUUCCUCAACACUCCACGAAAUUCUUUGGAAAACAAAUAUGUUGCGACUCUUCCAAAUACGCCACGUAAUAAUUCCAAAAAGGUAGGACCAAUCGAUUUCCCCUGUCGAAGAAGUCAACUGGUUCUGCAAAUUAGUCGCCGUCCAAUCAAAUAAAGAGCCUGAGUAAAAACUAGAAAAAGCUUGUUGAGGAAUGAUUUUAUCCCAAACUCCUUUGGCUGCAGGAUAAUCUCGGAGUAUAUGCAUCACAUCCUCCAAAACAUGACUACAAAUACUGCAAGUGUUGUUACUCCCACAACCUCGUCUUACUCUUUCAACAUUUGUAAGCAGCUUUUGCUUUAAGACAAGCCAAAUAAAGAAGCGGAUCCGAUAAGGGCCUUUAAAUUUCCAAGGUAUCCUCCAAAACGCUUCCUUGGGAUUCAAAGUGUCUUCACAAUGGGAUUCAAAGUGUCUUCACAAACCUUCCUAUAUGCACUCUUGAGAGAGAGAAGGUGUCAGUCGAGGUGGCUCCCCAAAUAAGUCCUAGCUUCGAUUUCUCUUUUAAGCAUAUUUGUAUUUUUUUUUCACAUUGUUUCAAAUUUUUCUUAAUUCAUCUUUUUAAUUAAUAAUUCUUUUAUUUAUAAAAUUAAAUAAUUAUUUUAAAUUAUCUAAUAAAAAAUAUAUUCUGAUAAAAAUGAUAUUUUUCAUUAUGUUAAAUAUAAUUUAUUUUUUAAAACAUCAACUUUUUGUUAUAUUUUUCUUUAUGUAAAAUAUAUAGGUUCUCCAUGUGGAUAUGGUGAUUUCUAAUAUUAUAAAAUCAAAUAAUUAUUUCAAAUAUCAUUAUUAUUUUUAUACGUAAAAUAUUUUAAAUAUCAUUAUUUUUUCAUGUACAUUGUAGGUAUGAUAUUUCAAAUAUUUUUAUACAUGAAAUAUUUCAAUUAAUUAUUUGAAAUUACAUUAUGUUUAUAUGUGAAAUAUUUCAAUUAAUCAUUUCAAAUUACAUUAUGUUUAUAUGUGAAAUAUUUCAAUUAAUUAUUUCAAAUUACAUUAUGUUUAUAUGUUAAAUAUUUCAAAAAGACGUACAAAAAUAUAUAAUACUAAAAUUUAAUACGUUCAUGAUAUGGAUUGAAAAUAAAAUUACACAUAAUAUUUAUAUUUAUUAAAGAUAAUGAUAUUUGAAAAUGAUUAUUUUAUUUUUAAAUAAAAUAAUUAUUAAUUAAAAAGAUAAAAAAAACUUGAAAACAAUAUAUUUAUUAAUUAAAAAAUUUAAAAGAAAACUUGAAACAACAUGAAAUAAAAAAAAGUACAAAUUUGCUUAGAAUAGGAAUCAAACCUAGGACUCAAUGAUAAAAUCACUAUUAUUUAACCAUAUAACCAAAGAAAUUAAUGUGAGUAGGAGAAGAAUCUAACCCGAGACUCAAGGACAAAACCAUUAAUAUUUAACUAUCUGACUAAAGGAAUUGAUAUAUUAAAAGAGUUAGAAAACACGCACUAUAAAAUGCAUUAUUUUAUUUGUCUCUCCAAAUUUAAAACCUUCUAUCAGUCAGCUGCUAUUUUGAUGUUUUCUGUCACUUAUUUAGCAUUAUUCUGCCUUUUACUUAUUCCUAAUUUUGGGUUGUUUUUCAUUAAUUAAUUAAUUAAUUAGAGAUCAUAUUAUGAAUGUAUUUAAUAUUUAUGGAAGUAAUGUUAAAAAGAAAUCUGGAGGUUUUUCUUUUUGCUCAUGAUUAAUUGGAUAAGUUUACAUUUUUACAAAAAAAAAAUAUUAAGACAAAGUCAGAGUGAAAAAAUAAUUAAGCAAGAAAAAUUCAGAAAAAUAAAUUGAUUCUUCAAUUAAAAAAAUGUAAAGCUUUAUUUGUUUUAUUAUUGAAAAAAAAAGGUCAUUCCCAAUUACUAUCAUUAAUAGUCAAAUUAUUAUUAUUUUUUUUGCAUGUUUAUUUCAUGUUAUAUUUUAACAAAAUAAAAGAAAUAUAUACUUUUUUUUAUAAAGAUUUAUUAAAUUACAGUCCAAAUUUGACAUUUAUAAUAUUAAAUAAAAUCUAAUCCACAUUUGACUCCUUAAUUAUCACGUUUCUUCCUUCCUUAAUUUUCAGUCAGUGAAUCACAUUAAAUUCAAAAUAGGAUGCAUAAUUAUUUAUUAUAUAUACAAGUGAUUGCAUAUAAUAUUAGUUCAUGCAGUCACCAGUAGUUGAAUAUUAACAUUUACAACUAUUUCCCGAGAAAAUGUAUGUGUUUUGUAUUAUAUAUAUAAGUUGGUAAUGCUGAUUGAGAAAAGACUUUUAAGAGGCUUUAAUAUCAUUGAGUUAUUAAGGUUAAGCCACUUGCUCGACUUAGUUUGUGUUUACUACAUGUAUUGUGUGUUUGGCUGUUGCAGAGUAUCCUCAGUGGAGGAGAAAAAUCAUCUGCUAUUUUUUAAAAUUCAUAUUACUAUUUUACUAUUUUACCUUUUUAAAGUAGAUCAUUUUUAUUUUUUUUAGUGUUUAAUGUACCUAGACGAUAAGAUUGAAGUAAUUUCUUUUUCCAAAAUAAUAAGCAUGCAUGAGAAUUGUUCAUCGCCAUGUGCUAAAGACUUGGACUGUUUGUCAAAGUUCUCUUCAAAGAAAUCAUAUAACUCACAAUGAAAGUUUAUAUAUAUAUAUAUAUAUAUAAUAUAAGNNNNNNNNNNNNNNNNNNNNNNNNNNNNNNNNNNNNNNNNNNNNNNNNNNNNNNNNNNNNNNNNNNNNNNNNNNNNNNNNNNNNNNNNNNNNNNNNNNNNAAAUUGGUAUCUCGUUAAACGCGCGUUGUCUUGCUUUUCAAAAAUACAAGUUCAAUUUAAUAGUUAAUCGCGAUCCGAUCAAAAUACAAAUUUUUUUUAAACACGAAGAUUUUUGAAACAAUUUUUUGAAAAUACGAUUUUUUUUAAAAACACGAGAAUUUUAGAGACACGAAAAUUCUUAAAAACACGAAUAUUUUUGAAAACACGACAAAUUUUUGAAAACAAUAUUUUUUUGAAACGCGAAAAUUUUUGAAACACGAGAAUUUUUUAGAAAACAGGAAAAAAAUAAUUUUUUUUGAUCAUCGGAAUUUUUGAGAACACGAAAAUUUUUGAAACACCGGGAUUUUUGAAAACACGAGGAUUUUUGAAACACGAAAAUUUUAAAAACACGAAAAUUUUUAAACAGGGGAAUUUUUUCGAAAACACGAAAUUUUUUGAAUAUUUACAAUUUUUAAAAGGACGUAUCGUAUUUAACAUAAACCGGUGAUAUUCACCCAACAUAGCGAUGAAAUCAUCGAUUUAAUGUUAAAUCGAUUCGUUGCCUUAUUUAUUAAAAUUAAAUUAAAUUAAAUUAAAAACAUAAAUACAAAAAAUAUAAAAGUGCAUAAAAAUACCAAUAAUAUUAAAACGAAAUGACAUAAAAAUACAUGCAUUAAAUUAAAAAUGAAAUAAAUAAAAUUACCGAAAAUGUCUGAAAUACGAGCUUCGCCGAACGGGUUACACAAAUUAAAACCCGUUUUUUCUUUUUUUCUUCUUUUAUCUUCCUUUUUCCUCUCUUUUUCUUUUUUUUUCUGGACUGGGCUGGCCUGUUGGGCUGCUGCUAGGCCUGGGGGCUGCUGCUGCACUGGGCCUGGGGGCCUGCUGCUGCGCUGGGCCUGCAUUUGGGCUGCUUCUUUCUUUUUCUUUUUUUCUGCUUCUUUCUUUCUUUCUUUUUUCUGCUGCUUCUUUUUCUGUUUUGGUUUUUUUUUUUGGGCUGGCCUGCUACUGCUGUUGGGUUGUUGGGUGCUGUGGGUCGGGUCAAUUUUGCGGGUCGGGUCGGCCCGAUUUAAAAUAAUUUUUUUCUUUUUUUCUUUUUUUCUUCUUUCUUCUUCCUCUUUUUUUCUUCUUUCUUUCUUCUUCUUUCUUUCUCUUUUUCUUCCUUUCUUUCUUCCCCGAUCAGGCCCCCCUUCGGGUUGCUUUCGUCGACGGCGACCUACUUCCCACCGACGGCCGACGGUGGCGCUCACGGUGGUCUUCCCUUUCCCCUUUUUUCUCUUUUUCUUUCUUUUUUUUUUCUUUUUGCUUGCUUUGCUUUUUUUUCUUUUUUUCUUGCCUCUUGGUUGUCUUGCUAGGUAUCGGGGCGGCGCGAGUGCGGUGGCGGAUGCGGUGGCGCGGACACGACGGCGGUGGUGCCCCUUUUUGCUGUUGUUUUUGCUCUCCUUUUUUUUUUGCUCAAAAUUUGUUUUUUUUUUUCCUUUGCUUCCUUGCUUCCCCCUUUUUCUUCCUUGCUUUGGGGGUUUUAAAACCCAUUUUAUUUUGAUGUUCUCUUCUUUUUUUGCAGGUUGCAGGUGGGCUAGGGAGGGCUUAGGUCGGCCGCCGCGCGUUGCAGGUGCAACUUGUGUCAGUGGCAGCCAGAGGGACCAAAAUGUAGUGGCAGCAAAACUUUUGGGGCCGAAACAUAAUUUUGAGAAAGUUCAAGGGUCCAAAUGUAAUUUUAAGAAAGUUUAAGGGUCAAAAUGUAAUUUAGAAAAGUUUAGGGGUUGAACUGUAAUUUUGAGAAAGUUUAGGGGUUAAAAUGCAAUUUUAAAAAAGUUUAGGGGUCAAAAUGCAAAAAAAUUAAAAAAUUUAAUUUUAAUUUUUUUUAACGAAAGUUAUUCCCGGACAAAAUUCAGUGAUUACAGCUGCCCCUCUUUGCUCAUCGCUGUGAAACAGGGAUAGAGCAAAGACUUAAAAGCACUGAAUUUUGUUCGAUCAUCCAAAAUUUUUCUUUUUAUUUGAAAAGCAGAAAUCGAGAAUAGCUCAGCGUGAAACCCGAGGCCCAACUCACCUCUAGCAAUAUGAGUUGAUUUUUUUGAAAAGCAAGAAUUGAAAAAUACCUCGACGUGACUCGAGGCUCAACUCACCUCUCGCAAUAUGAGUUGAUUUUGGAAAAAUAGAAAUUGAAAAACACCUCGACGUGACUCGAGGCUCAACUCACCUCUGGCAAUAUAAGUUGAUUUUUGAAAAACAGAAAUUUAAAAUACCUCAGCGAGAGACCCGAGGCUCAACUCACCUCUCGUAAUAUGAGUUGAUUUUUUGAAAAAAUAGAAAUUAAAAAAAAUACCUCAGCGUGACUCGAGGCUCAACUCACCUCUGUAUUAUGAGUUGAUUUUUUGAAAAAAGCAGAAAUUAAAAAAAUACCUCAGCGUGACCCGAGGCUCAACUCACCUCUGUAUUAUGAGUUGAUUUUUUGAAAAAGCAGAAAUUUAAAAAAUACCUCAGCGUGACCCGAGGCUCAACUCACCUCUGUAUUAUGAGUUGAUUUUUUGAAAAAAGCAGAAAUUAAAAAAAAUACCUCAGCGUGACCCAAGGCUCAACUCACCUCUGUAUUAUGAGUUGAUUUUUUGAAAAAAGCAGAAAUUUAAAAAAUAACUCAGCGUAACCCGAGGCUCAACUCACCUUUGUAUUAUGAGUUGAUUUUUUGAAAAAAGCAGAAAUUAAAAAAAAUACCUCAGCGUGACCCGAGGCUCAACUCACCUCUGUAUUAUGAGUUGAUUUUUUGAAAAAAAAAUAGAAUUUUAAAAAAUAUUUCUUGAAAGAAACAGGGUUUCAAAAAACAUCUGGUAAAGCUAAAAGCCUUCUUCUUCAUUGAUUCUGUGCAGUUUUCUCCCAGUAUUCCUUGCUCUACUGGUAUACCUGUAUAUGUUAUUUAUGAUGUUAUUAUGAUAUGCACAUGUUUGUCCUAAAUGCUUUUGUGUCUACAUGAUCAUGCAAUGCACCCUGGGCUAUUUGUCACGUGCCCCACUUUUGAUUUUUGUGAGGGUCCGCAUUUAUUUCCUCAAUUCUUGACUUUUCUCUCCAGUUUUGUACUCAUCCUCAAGUUUGGUGAGUAACCCACAUUUCUUCGUAUAUCACCCUCUUGCCCCCUGUUGAACUUUUUCUUGCUUUAGGGUCCUUGUAUUUAUCAAGUUCUCAUCCAGGUAAUGCUCAACAUUCCCUUUGUUUAGAGUAUGUCAUCUUACUAUUUAUCAUUUAAAUGAAUCAAACACGAGAUGCAUACAAAAGACAAAGUAGGCAUGAAAGAAAUACCUCACAUUCAUUUUUUUAAAAGCAACAAUCGAAGGAAAUUGAUAAGGAAAGUUUAACAAAUAAAUUGUCAUAAAGAAAAGAAAGCGAGUUCAAUGGCCAGAAAUGCUCUAGAUAUCCAAUGCAUGAACUUUCCAAGUUUCUUCAUCCUGGAUCUUUUCGAGCACGGCUUCUUGUGUAGAAGAUUUUGAGCUUCUGAGAAUGCUUCAAAUAUUGUAACCUCGCCAUUCGACUCUCCGUUCAAGCCAAUUGGCUUCUUCAAGCCCGAGCCCACUUUAUUAGGACGCCCUUUUGGGUUUUCAUCCUAAUCCUUUUGUUUAUCAAGACGCCCUUUUCGGGUUUUCAUCUUGAUUUUUCUUUUUUUGUUUUGUUUUUGUUUUGUUCCUUUGUUUUGUUAUUUUUUUGUUUUUUUUUUGUCUCUCUUUUUUUUAGGCAUAAUAUUUCUUCACAGAAUCUGAGUUCACUGGAUUAGGUAAUUCUUUCCCGUCCAUCUCAGUGAAAAUCAGAGCCCCUCCUGAGAAUGCCCUUUUUACAACGUAUGGCCCUUCCCAAUUUGGUGACCAUUUUCCUCGAAAGUCCUUCUGAAUCGAGAGAAUCUUUCUCAGUAUGAGCUCUCAUUCGCAAAAUUCUCUUGGCCGCACCUUUUUAUCAUGGGCCGUAAUCAUUCUCUUCUGGUACAUAUGUCCAUGACAAAUUGCCUUCAAGCGUUUCCCUUUAAUAAGGUUUAGCUGAUCAUAUCGAGCUCGAACCCACUCUGAUUCCUCUAACCUUGUCUCCAUCAAGACGCGCAGGGAUGGGAUCUCUACUUCGAUAGGCAAAACGGCUUUCAUUCCAUAGACCAGAGAAAAAGGAGUUGCCCCUGUAGACAUCCGUACAGAGGUGCGAUAUACGUACAAAGCGAAUGGUAGCUUCUCGUGCCAGUCUUUAUAUGUCUCAGUCAUCUUCCCGAGAAUCCUCUUAAUGUUCUUAUUAGCCGUUUUUACUGCUUCGUUCAUCUUUGGGCGAUAGGGCGAAGAAUUAUGAUGCUUUAUCUGAAAUUGCUCACAUACUUCUUUCAUCAUCUUGUUGUUCAAAUUUAAAGCAUUAUCUGAAAUGAUUCUUUCAGGCAGACCAUAUCGACAUAUGAUCUCAUUUUUUAAGAACCUACAGACCGCAGCCUUUGUCACAUUAGCAAAUGAAGUGGCUUCUACCCAUUUUGUGAUGUAGUCUAUAACCACAAAGAUGAAUCGAUGUCCAUUGGAAGCUUUCGGGGAAAUUGGCCAUAUAACAUCCAUGCCCCACAUAGAAAAAGGCCACGGAGAAGUAAUGACAUGAAGGGGCGAUGGAGCUGCAUGAAUUUUAUCACCAUAAAUUUGACAUUUGUGGCACUUUCGUGUUUAGCCAAUGCAAUCGCUUUCCAUCGUCAGUCAGUAAUAACCAAGUCUCAUAAUCUGCCUGGCCAUAGUGAAACCACUGGCAUGCAUUCCAAAAAUUUCUUCAUGAACCUCUUCAAGUAUCUUUCUAGCUUCAACAGCGUCCACGCACCUAAUGAGCACUUGAUCUUUUCCUUUUUUGUAUAGAAUAUCCCCAUCAAGAAUAAAUCCAACCGUUAUUAUUCUGAUUGUUCUGUUGUCAUUCUCGUUUGCCUGCUCGGGGUACCUUUGAUUCUUGAUAUACUCCAAGAUAUCAUGGAACCAUGGUCGUCCAUCUGACUCCUCCUCAAUACUAAAACAGUGUUCGAGGGUCUCAUAUAUACUCAUUUGGAUGGGCAUUAUCUCAGUUUCUCUGUUUGCUUUGAACAUCGAAGCCAAGGUGGCUAGGGCAUCAGCCAAUUGGUUCUCCUCUCGUGGAAAGUAGUUAAAAGUCACUUCUUUGAAUUCUUUGACCAAUUUCGCAACAAGAUCGUGGUACUUGACUAAUUUUGGAUCUCUCACUUCCCAAUCCCCACGAAUUUGAUAAAUGACUAAUGCUGAGUCCCCGUGCACUUCUAAGAUUUUGAUUUUCCUCUCGAUAGCUGCACGAAGCCCUAUGAUGCAAGCUUCAUAUUCCGCUAUAUUAUUGGUACAGAAGAAGUUCAAUCUGGCAGUGAGCGGGUAAUGAUCUCCCUCCGGCGAUACUAAGACUGCUCCAAUCCCAUGCCCCAAUACAUUUGAUGCACCAUCAAAGCUCAUUUUCCAUGAUUUCUCUCUUGAUGACUCACCCUCUUUUUCUGAAAUGCAAAUCAAGUCUUCAUCUGGGAAAUCAAAUCUCAAAGGCUCGUAUUCUUCCGCUGUUCGACUUGCCAAGAAGUCAGCUAUCGCACUUCCCUUUAUCGAUUUUUGGCUCAUAUACACGAUGUCAUACUCAGUCAGUAAGAUCUGCCAUCGUGCUAUUCUUCCUGAGAGUGCAGGUGACUCCAUCAUGUACUUUAUUGGAUCCAGUUUUGAAAUUAACCACGUCGUAUGAUAUAACAUGUAUUGUCUGAGCCUUCGAACCGUUCAAAUCAAUGCGCGACAAAACUUCUCAAUUGAAGGGUACUUUACCUCAUAUUCUGUGAACAUUUUGUUGAGGUAGUAAAUCACUUUUUCUCUUUUCCCCGACUCAUCAUGUUGUCCCAGUACGCAACCCAUUGAAUUCUCAAACACGGUCUGGUACAAUAUUAAGGGUUUUCCAGGGGUUGGCGGUACUAGUACCGGAGGAUUAGAUAGAUACUGUUUUAUCUUGUCGAAAGCCACUUGACAUUCCUCGUUCCAUUCUCCCGGAUUAUGUUUUUGAAGAAGUCAAAAAAUUGGAUCACACUGAUUGGUAAGUUGGGCAACGAAUCGAGCAAUGUAAUUCAACCUUCCUAAAAAUCCUCUGACUUCCUUUUGUGUACGCGGAGGUGGCAGUUCUUGUAUAGCUUUCAUAUUAUCUUGAUCAACUUCGAUACCUCUCUCACUGACAAUAAAACCUGACAGUUUUCCCGAGGUAGCCCCAAACGUACAUUUGGCUGGGUUAAGUUUCAACUGGAACUUUAUUAACCUUUCGAACAGCUUCUUGAGAUUCCCAACAUGCUCUUUUUCUCCCCGGGACUUGACAAUCAUAUCAUCGACGUAAACUUCUAUUUCUUUGUGCAUCAUAUCAUGAAAUAACGUCACCAUGGCUCUCUGAUAUGUUGCCCCAUCAUUCUUUAAUCCGAACGGCAUUACCUUGCAGCAAAAGGUCCCCCACAAUGUUAUGAAUGUAGUUUUCUCCAUGUCCUCGGGAGCCAUCUUUAUCUGAUUAUAACCUGAGAAGCCAUCCAUGAAAGAAAACAGAGAAUGUUUUGCCGUAUUAUCCACCAAAGUGUCGAUGUGUGGUAAAUGAAAGUUAUCCUUAGGGCUUGCUUGAUUCAGAUCACGAUAAUCCACGCACAUUCGCAACUUGCCAUCUUUCUUCGGCACUGGGACUAUAUUAGCUACCCAUUUUGGAUAUUUAGAGACUUGUAGGAAGCCAGCAUCAAUUUGUUUCUUGACUUCUUCUUUUAUCUUUAACAGCAUUUCGGGUCUCAUCCUUCUUAAUUUCUGCCGAACGGGCUUGCAUUCUGGUUUCAGUGGGAGCUUAUGAACCACUACAUCCUCAUUCAACCCUGGCAUGUCCUGAUACGACCAGGCGAAUACAUCUUUGUACUCACGGAGCAAGGCGAUCAAAUUCUGUUUGGUGUUAUCUGAAAUGGAAAUAUCAAUAUUCACUUCUUGUUUCUUUUCUUCACUUCCCAAGUUCACUGUCUCAACAGAUUCUUGAUGGGGUAGAAUCUGUUUCUUUUCUUGUUCAACCAUUCUCAAUAAGUCAGGAGGCAAGACACAAUUUUUAGCAUCUUCCUCGGCUUCAAAUUCUUCUAAACAAACAGCCUUCUCAAAAUCGAUUUCAGGACUUGUAACGGGAUUGUUCAUGCCAUGGAUAUCUGAGCACUUGAAAGGCGGAUAGAAAAGACUGCUAUAAGAGAGCAUCAAAGUAUUGGAAUCAACAAACACAAUGUUAUGGAAUGAGAUAUAUGGAGAGAAAGGAUAUGAAGCGAUGAGGGUAAUUAUGAAACUGAUAGAAAUAAAAAGAUCAUGACAAAAUGCAUCUUCAUUAAUGUUCAUUGAAAUGAUAAAGAGCAAACACAAGCUCUUACAAAAGGAAUCCCACUAUUUAGGGGCACACAAAAUAAAUGGAGAAGUAACAUUGGGCAUUACUCUGGAGAGGACUUAGAAACUACAAGAAGGUCCACAGCAGUCCAAUUGUUCAAAACAUAUCUUGGAAGACAGGGGUGUAUCAUUGAAACAUCCUCAAUUGUAUCACUCUCAUUGAAUUCAACAUUCAUAGCCCUAGCCCUUAAAUGUGUUCUAUAAGAAUGACGUGAUUCCAGACUUGUAGUAUCACAACUGUGGAUUUUGCGGUUCUGGCCUUAGUGAAUGAUUAGGGUGAUAUGUACAUGCAAUGAAUGAAUGAAUGAAUGACCAAUGGAUGCUAGUCAUGCGUAAAUAUGCAAAAAAAAUGGUGUUGAUUUCAAGAUAGCCCCAUAUUUUGGCAUUUCAUUUAUCAAAAGAGUCAAUUACAAAAUAUUUUGCCAACGAAGAUGACCCUAGUUCUUGAGUUUCACUGUUUCCAAAUCCUAGUCAAAUCUUCAGGGUUAUUCUGACGAGCAUUCGAAGUCGUCUUCUCGGAAAGAUCAGAGAUAUAUCUUUCCUUUAAAUUGUCCCUUUUACUUUCUCGGCCCUCAAAGACCAGUCUCUGACUACGACAUUUUUCUUGAUUACCUGUGUAAUUUGACUCCUUCAUCAGAAACCCGUUUUUGGCAACCAAUCUCUAAUCAACACCUUCCUAAUGAGAUAUCUACGAUGCAUGAUGAAAAAUAAAAUGAAGAACAAAUAACAUUGGUUAGAGAUCACAACAGAUAUAAACAGAAGGAAAAUAAAAAAUAAAUACUAUGGAAAAUUUAACAAAUUAAGCUAGUCAAUCAGCAAUUUGGUGGAACAGACCCACAUUUUUUUUUGCCCCAACAUGCUUUACAAAAACCUACCCCACAUACCAUCAGACAAUCUACCCGACCCAAUUUAUUAAAUAGACCCAAUUCAUUUGCAAAUAAGUGUAAAUGUAAAAGAAAUAAAAGGUAAGAGGCGUUUCUCCCGUGUACUUAUUUUGGUAACUAUCAAACGGACAGAGGUUCGGCAUGGCUCUAAUUGGGUGGCUCGUACGGUUCNNNNNNNNNNNNNNNNNNNNNNNNNNNNNNNNNNNNNNNNNNNNNNNNNNNNNNNNNNNNNNNNNNNNNNNNNNNNNNNNNNNNNNNNNNNNNNNNNNNNUCUUCUAAAGAAAUACAUAUAACUACACAAUAGAAGUUAAUAUAUAUAUAUAUAUAUAUAUAUAAGCAUAGUCAGGCCAACCAAUGUAGAAAAAAACUAACAUGAUAUCAUCUUUUCUUAUUGCCCAGUAUUUAUUUAGCAAAUAUUGACUGUAACAUUGUCAUGAUUAUUUUUGGACAAGAACAAGGUCAUUUCCACACAGGUAGAAGUGCAGUCCAUGCUCAUAGCUUACAGAAAAAAAAAAUAUUUCAGUAAAGAUUAUGUAGCGACCUAAAAAUUUGGGGUGAGCGCUAAUCGAAAUGAUUGUUGAAAAUUUGAAGACGGUGUUUCGAUUUUAUUUGAAAAAGGAGUCGCCACCGAUCUUUUUUCCUAGGUGUGAUCGGACACCUAAUAAAUUCUCUUUUAGAAGAAGAAUUUAUUUUUUUAAUUUUUCUAAAAAAGAGGUAAUUUUAGGUCUACGUGAAAAUCCAGAGAAAAUUAGGGUUCGGGAGUCGGUUACACGCGAGGAAGGUAUUAGCACCCUCGCGACGCCCAAAAUUGGUAUCUCGUUAAACGCGCGUUGUCUUGCUUUUCAAAAAUACAAGUUCAAUUUAAUAGUUAAUCGCGAUCCGAUCAAAAUACAAAUUUUUUUUAAACACGAAGAUUUUUGAAACAAUUUUUUGAAAAUACGAUUUUUUUAAAACACGAGAAUUUUAGAGACACGAAAAUUCUUAAAAACACGAAUAUUUUUGAAAACACGACAAAUUUUUGAAAACAAUAUUUUUUUUGAAAACGUCGAAAAAUUUUUUGAAAACACGUAGAACUUUUUUUAGAAAAACUAGGUAAAAAAAACUAAAUUUUUUUUUAGAAUUCAAUUUUUGAGNNNNNNNNNNNNNNNNNNNNNNNNNNNNNNNNNNNNNNNNNNNNNNNNNNNNNNNNNNNNNNNNNNNNNNNNNNNNNNNNNNNNNNNNNNNNNNNNNNNNNNNNNNNNNNNNNNNNUUUGAAUAUUUACAAUUUUUAAAAGGACGUAUCGUAUUUAACAUAAACCGGUGAUAUUCACCCAAUAUAGCGAUGAAAUCAUCGAUUUAAUGUUAAAUCGAUUCGUUGCCUUAUUUAUUAAAAUUAAAUUAAAUUAAAUUAAAAACAUAAAUACAAAAAAUAUAAAAGUGCAUAAAAAUACCAAUAAUAUUAAAACGAAAUGACAUAAAAAUACAUGCAUUAAAUUAAAAAUGAAAUAAAUAAAAUUACCGAAAAUGUCUGAAAUACGAGCUUCGCCGAACGGGUUACACAAAUUAAAACCCGUUUUUUCUUUUUUUCUUCUUUUAUCUUCUUUUUUCCUCUCUUUUUCUUUUUUUUUUCUUGACUGGGCUGGCCUGUUGGGCUGCUGCUAGGCCUGGGGGCUGCUGCUGCACUGGGCCUGGGGGCCUGCUGGGCCUGCUGCUGCGCUGGGCCUGCAUUUGGGCUGCUUCUUUCUUCUUCUUUUUUCUGCUUCUUUCUUUCUUUCUUUUUUCUGCUGCUUCUUUUUCUGUUUUGGUUUUUUUUUUUUGGGGCUGGCCUGCUACUGCUGUUGGGUUGUUGGGUGCUGUGGGUCGAGUCAAUUUUGCGGGUCGGGUCGGCCCGAUUUAAAAUAAUUUUUUUUUUCUUUUUUUCUUCUUUCUUCUUCCUCUUUUCUUCUUUCUUUCUUCUUCUUUCUUUCUCUUUUUCUUCCUUUCUUUCUUCCCCGAUCAGGCCCCCCUUCGGGUUGCUUUCGUCGACGGCGACCUACUUCCCACCGACGGCCGACGGUGGCGCUCACGGUGGUCUUCCCUUUCCCCUUUUUUCUCUUUUUCUUUCUUUUUUUUUUCUUUUUGCUUGCUUUGCUUUUUUUUCUUUUUUUCUUGCCUCUUGGUUGUCUUGCUAGGUAUCGGGGCGGCGCGAGUGCGGUGGCGGAUGCGGUGGCGCGGGCACGACGGCGGUGGUGCCCCUUUUUGCUGUUGUUUUUGCUCUCCUUUUUUUUUGCUCAAAAUUUGUUUUUUUUUUUUUUCCUUUGCUUCCUUGCUUCCCCCCUUUUCUUCCUUGCUUUGGGGGUUUUAAAACCCAUUUUAUUUUGAUGUUCUCUUCUUUUUUUGCAGGUUGCAGGUGGGCUAGGGAGGGCUUAGGUCGGCCGCCGCGCGUUGCAGGUGCAACUUGUGUCAGUGGCAGCCAGAGGGACCAAAAUGUAGUGGCAGCAAAACUUUUGGGGCCGAAACGUAAUUUUGAGAAAGUUCAAGGGUCCAAAUGUAAUGUUAAGAAAGUUUAGGGGUCAAAAUGUAAUUUAGAAAAGUUUAGGGGUUGAACUGUAAUUUUGAGAAAUUUUAGGGGUUAAAAUACAAUUUUAGAAAAGUUUAGGGGUCAAAAUGCAAAAAAAAUUAAAAAAUUUUUAAUUUUAAUUUUUUUUUAACGAAAGUUAUUCCCGGAUAAAAUUCAGUGAUUACAGAUUAAAUAGUUGUAUAUGAUAUUGAUAUCAUAGAUAGAUGAAUCGAUUUAAUUUAAGUCGGUUCAACUUAUAAAUACCUUAAUUUUAUAUAAUAUAUAUGUGUAUUUAUAUUAUUAUUUAAGUUCUUGAUUGGGUUAGCGUCACUCUCAACCGGGUCACCAAAUUUACUAGGAAAAUUAUUGAAAUGUUCUUUCGUAAUUAAAAUAAGUUGUAUUAUUCGAAGGUAUUUUUGCCUUUUUAUUUUUAAAAAGUAAAUAAAAAUAUGUGUAUGGUGGUAUUUGAAUCCAAACUAAUUGGGUUAGAAAAAUAUUUAAUUUAUCACUCAACUAAAACCUUUUAUUUUGAUAUUUUUAUAUAUUUUUUAUUUUAUUAUACACACUUUAUUUUAAUACCGUACAUAUUUCAUGUGUUAUUAUGCUUAAUUAGUUUCAAAUCAUGUGUUUCAUUAUUUAUUAUUUGUUAUUUUUAAACACAUAUUUGUACUCUAAUAUUUAUAAAAUAACAUAAUCCUCGAAAAGGAAACAUGCACUUCUAGGUAAGUUAAGUUUUUACCAAAUGACACAUGUUGAUAAUUGACACUUUAGGUGGUUAUUGAUGGCCUUGUAAAGUCUUUCGAUCUUAACAUUAUACAAACCAAAACCUUAGUAUUGCACAAACAAUUAUUUUAGUAUCUUUAGAAUAAUAUGAUUAUCAUAAGUUUAAAAAUAUCUGAUGCGGAAUUGAAAUUGGUCAUUAGAUUUUAUGAAGAAGAACACCCGAUAAAUUGAUUUCUCCCUCUUAACCUUUUUCCCUUAACUACACAAAUAAGGAAAAAAAAUUUAUGUGUUUUGUGUGCAACUCUAAUAAGUAAAGUGGGAUUAAUUUAUAAUGAUAAACUUUUAAUCUGAUCAAGUAACCCAACGAAAUGAUAAAAUUUAAUUUCUAUUAAAGUAAAACUUUUAGGCCCCAUGAUUUUAGAGUUAUUGGGUCCACAUAAUUGGGAUAAAAAUCUUACAUUCUCUCACUUGGCCUAAUGAGAUAAAACAUAAACUUUAAUAGAACAAUUGUUGAGUGCGCAUAAAAAUAAUAUAAAAUUUGUCAUUAAAAUUUGAUUAGGUUGACCUCAUAUAAUGUGGCAGAUGAUUAAUAGAAAAUAAACAUGUUAAAUUGACAAAUUUUGAUAGAAACUGCCAACGAUAAUAAUAACCAAAUUAGAAUUUUUAAAUUGAAAAGGGAGGACUGAAAUUUUAACUUUUAAAGUACAAGAACCCAAUCUCAAAUUAAUUACAAGUACAGGGACUAAUAACACAUGUUAGCUUCUUCUUCUUUUUUAGGUAACAAAAAUAAUCAAUAUAUGACCAACAUGCGGUAGAAAUUUAUUUUAUUUUAUUUUAAAUAUUAAAUUACUUUUAGUUUAAUUAAAAUUUUUAAUUUUUUUUAAUUUAACAAUUGAACCGAGUGAUAAAAUACUUGCAAAUAAAUAUUCUGUGGGCAAAGAUUUAAUCAUUAAAUAUUACAUUUUUAAUUAUUUCAUUUAAGUACGUCGCAUAAAAAUAGUAAAAAGCGAAAGUAUUAAUAUUAUAAUUUUGAGACACCUUACAUGCGAUUCAAUUGUCUAAUCCAAAUGCGCGACUUCACAUUAUGUUGUCAGGGUAACUCAAACUAACUUGAUAUCAUUUUACUAAGUAACAUACAUUCAAACAAAUAAAUCACGUAUAAUUUCAAUUAAAUCAUGUGUACAUGUUUAAUGAAUGUCAAUUGAUCUAGUUUAAAGUAUUUAGGAGUUGUAUAGGAUCAAAUAUAGAGUUGGGAUUCGAAUCCAAACUCAUUUAUCCAAAUUUUAUAGGGGGUUUCGAGACAUGACAUUCAUGUCUCGAGACACUAAUAUAAUAUGGUCUAAAAUGAACAUUUAAAUGCAUUCAAUCACAAAUCAAUUCGUACCUAACUUAAACAAACUUUACACAAUUUCAUAUGCAUCAAUUUAACAAACAAAUAUAUAACCAAAUAUCCAAACAAUUUAACAUCAAGUCACCUCAACCUAAUGUAGUUAAAUAAAUGGCUUAAUACUUAAAACCAUGCAAACUCAUUCAUUACUCAAGCAUUAAAACUCAACAAAAGAAACCUUAUAGGUCCAUAGCUAACCAAAGCAUACCAUAUUGACCAAAACAAUAUUUAACUCGAGCUGAAUUACUGACCUUAAAUGCUUUACAAUUUUGAUCUACUAAAAACCUGUUUGAGAUCUGCGCAUAAAAACAAACACAACUAUACGUUGAGUAUUAAAUACUUAAUGGUGCUAACAUAAUCUGAAUUCAAAUAUAAAACAUUAAGCAAUUUAAUAUACUAAAUAAACAUUUUAUUUAAUAGAUUCAAUAUCAUAAUACUAAGGGCCAGUUCUUCAUUGCUUAACAAAAGCACUUCUGACUCCAAAAGUACUUUUGAAAGAAAAACUGUGAAGAACAAGCUGCUUUUGGCUGAAAUUUUUAGCUUUUUUCUGAAAAGGAGCUGAAAAUGAGAAGCUAAAAAUUUUAGCUUUUACUCUCCCAAAAGCACUUUUUGUGCUUAAUUACUUUUUCACCCCUCCAAUAACAUAGUAUUUUCCUUUUUUUUCUUGGUGCUUAAUUACAAAUGUGUUAAAAUUAUUAAUUAAAAAUAAAAAAUAUUUCUUAAAAUACUAAUUACAAAUAUUUAAUGGUUAUAUUUAAAUAUUUAAAAUAUAGUUUAUAUAUUCUAAUUAAAUUUUAUAAAUAAUUAAUAUUUAUUGCUUAAAAAUAUUUAAAAUUUAUAUUUCAUAUAUUAAAAUAUUAACAAUAAGCUAUAAUAAUUUUUUUAUAUUCUUACUAAAAUAUAAUAAUAUUAACUAAUUUAAAUAUUAUUUAAAUGCAUAUUUGUUACUUGAUAAUAACAUGUCUAAAAUGGACAUUUUAUUUCUCAAAAGCACUUUUUGACAGUAAUACUAAACACUCAAAUUUUAAGCCAAACUUUUCAAAAGCACUCCUCAAAAGCACUUUUCCACAGCACUUUUUAAAAGCAAUGAAGAACUAGCCCUAAGAUGGCAUUCUAGUAUUUCAUUACCCAAUUUCAUAUCGAGCAACAAUCAUCCCGUAACUUUAUACCAUUUCAUUUAUUCACCCUCAGGGUAUUUAAGUGACAUUUACCUAUGCAAUCAAUUUUCUCCUCGUGAGGCAAGUUCCAAUGUCACGAUACCCAAAACAAUAUUGAAAUUGAGAGUCUUGGAGGUCUCGGUGUCAUGAUACCCAUCUUUGGUAUCGCUAUAUCACUGGAGUUGACCUUAAGUUUUUUCACUUCAGCAUUGUUAGGGGUAUUACAACUUUCAUGACCUCAAUGUCGUGAUACCCCGUUCUAAAUGAUAAUUUCCUCGAGUUUGGGCCAUUAUCAACUUCCUACACCAACUCAAUCAUAUCACUAGGUCCCCCAUGGCGCCAUUUGGGUCUUAAUAUGGCAUAAAACUAAUAAAAAUUAUUAAUUAAUAACAAAAACUAAAAAUCGACAAAAGUAAAGAAAAUACACUUAUAUUGCUUGAGAAUAAGCUCCUCGAGUGUAAUGGAAAGCCUAAUUUGACAUAUCAAAUUACGUCAGAUCACUUGUUCAGCACAGGUUCAAACCGUGUUACCCCCUUCCUCUACCCCUAAUAUUGUAUAAAAAAACUAAUUGCUAAUCUUCUAAUGUAGUCUCUGUACUAUAGUACUUAAUAGUUUAUAUAAUUUAAUUACUAAAUAAUUUUAUUUCUAAUUUAUCUUUUAUUUUUUUAAUCUCACACUCGCUUUGUAAUUGCUCGAUCAAAAUUUUGAACAACUCGAUUUAAUAAAUUUGAUCCCACAAUUAACUUUUCCGACAUUGAAAAAAAUCGAAUCAAUACAAUAUUAUAAAAAAAAAUUUUAAGUAUAGGUGUAGUUAGGAGUCCAUGUUUUUUUAUAUUAAUCUAGUUUGAAGAAAAAAUCAAAUAAUAAAAAGUAGCAAAUUUUAAAAAUUUAUUUUCCUAUAAAAAAAGUUGUUAAAUUAAAUUAUUAUCUUGAAUGAUGUUUUGGUAUAAAUUAUGCAUGGGUUCUUUUUAAAUCUAUUUUGAUUUAAAUUUCGUUGUGUGUGGACCAUAUUGAUUUAUAAUAUGUUUGGUUUGUGUUUUGUUUUUUUUUAAAAUAAAUUUGGGCUAAACUGGUGAACGAAAUAUAUCUUUAGAUGCUAAAUAGAAAUUAAAAAUUUAAAUAACCAAAACAAAUAUAUAUAUAUAUAUAUAUAUAUAUAUAAAAAUUCAAGAGCUCAAACAUGAAUAAAGGCUAAUAAAUUUUGUGAUAAUUUUCUCUCACCUAUAGGCAAAUAAUUUCAAAAAAUAAAUUAUUUGAUAUAUUAUUAAUAAAUUUUAAAAUUUUUAUUUAUGAAUUUAAUAAAAUGUUAUAAUUUUUACUAAAAUGAAAUAUAUUAAAAUAAUGUAACAAAAUUCAUAUUUUGAUUUAUUUGUGAAAAUUAAAAAUCUCAUCAAGUUUAUAUAAAAAUGUACUUUUUAUUUUAAAUAAACGAUAGAAUCAUUUGGUUGCACCGAAGUGCCUAUGUGUUGGGUCGGAUAGCACACAAAAUUUUCCUAAAGCUCUUGCCUAAGCAUUAUUUAGGAUGAUGGGCUUUGAUUGAUCUGUUAGCCCAAAAGGUUAUAUUAAUAUAUAUUUUAUAAUUAAAUUUAAAUAUAUUUUUUUAUUUUUAAAUGUGCUUCAGCACACUGAAAUUCACAAUAAUAACAAACGUUAAUUAAAUUAAUUAUUUAAAUACUAACUUUUUAUAAAUAAUGAUUUCGAUUUACAUGUUGAUCUAAGUCAUGCAAAAUGUCUAACGUACCAAUUUAUAUAACCAAAGAAAAUACUUUAAUUUGUAGUGUAAGCUACACCAUUAGUCAAUAAAUUAUUAAUACAUUUUUAUUUUGGUCAUUGAACUACUUAAAAGUUCUCAUUUAAGUCAUUAGACUGUUAAAAUCGAUGCUACAUGGUUUUCUCAAUUCGCAUUGCUUGCGCUAAUCGAAAGCUCUCUUUCUCAUUUUCUUCUACAGUUGAGUUUUUUUUUUAUGAAACAAUUUUGGAUGUUACAAAUCUAAAAAACCAAAAUUUAAACAACUUUUCCCUCCGAUCUCUUACAUUGAUCAUCACAUUGAUCUGGAUCUAAAGUAUGUUCUUUUACUCGUCAAUGGAUAUUGAUCCACAUACUGAUCCUCGAAUUGUUGCUUGAAACUCGCUGGUGGAACUUAAAAAAAAAAACUUAAUAACUUAGUGACUUAAAUAAAAACUCUUGAAUAGUUCAGUGACUUAAAUGAAAAUUUUAAAAUAGUUCAAUGACCAAAUUAUAAUUUUUUAGUUAAGUGACCAAAACAAAAAUUUACCCAUAAUUGUGUAUUUUUCACUAAUUUGUAUCACUAAAUUACUUUAAGGGAUAUUGAGGAGUGACAAUACUUGUUACAGAUAGGCAAAGUUUUCAUCAAAAUUUGAAAAAAAACCUAGUGCAAUAGUUAUAUAAACUUUAGGGUAAAUUACAUCAAUUGUCCCUAAUCUUUAAUUAAAAUUAUAUUUUAGUCACGUAACUUUCAAAAGUUACAUAAUUGUCAUUAAAGUUAUCGAAAUGUUACAUUUUAACCACUCAUCAUUUAACUUUCGUUAAGAAGAUGAUGUGGCACAUUAAUUUAACGGGUUAGUCCCUGAACAAUAAUUAAAAUAUCAAAUUGACACUUUUAAAAUUUUUCUUUAUAAUAAUUCUAAAAAAUUUAAAGGGUAAACUACUCCAAUAGUCACUUAAGUUUUAAUGCGUUCCUAUUUUGGUUACCAGAUUUUUUUUUUUGUUAAUUUAGUCAUUUCCAUUAGAUUAAUUGUCAUUUUUAGUCACUCCAUCGUUAAAAUACAUUAGUCAUUGAACGGAAUGUUGAUGUGGCAAUCUUUUGAUUGGUAUAAUAACAAAUUUAGCCCUUAACACUUUACAUAUUCUGUUUACUUGGUCCUAUGUUGAAAAAAUAAACAAAUUUAACUCAAUGUUUACACAUUUUGUCAAUUUAGUCCAAAUUCAAAAAUUUUAUAAUUUUAAAAACUUGAAAAAAUAUAUAUAAUUUAUUAUAAAAAGACAUAAAACUAAAAAAAUAUUAAAAAAAUAUAUAAAAUUACUUGGUUGGGCUUUGAUUGUAGAUGAAACAAUUUAUACUUUUCUUUGGCUGAUGCAAACUUGGUUUAUAGCAAUGGGGGAAUAGGCUCCGCAAGUGAUGCUCACUGAUCAAAACAAUGCCAUAAAAGUAGUUGUAGCUGCUGUGUUUCCUGCUGCACGACGUUGUUUCUGUGUUAUGGCAUGUCUUGGGUGACUAUCUAAGUAAUUUACCCUUUAAAUUUUUUAGAAAAAGAUUAAAAGUAUCAAUUUGAUAUUAUAGUUAUAGUUCAGGGGCUAAAUUAGUUAUUAACCCUUUAAAUUAACAUGUCGCAUCAUUCUCUUAACGAAAGUUGGGUGAUUUUAAUCAAAUGUGCAGUUUAUCUUAUGUAUAAACACCGUAUUAAUAGAGUUUAAUAAAUAUUGUUUUCGUAUAUGUAGAUUAGAUCGCUCAAUAGUUGAAUAGGUUACAUAGAUGAGGAAGUUAGGUUUGUAUAAAAGAAGAUUGAAAUGAUUCAAUCAUUUUUGUGAAAUAAUAUUGAACAAAUAAAAUUUGAACAUUCAUAAUAUUUUCUCAAAAUUACGAACUUCAUCGCAUAAAAAGAAAACACGAGACUAACGACUGUUUCUCGUUUGUUGACCAAUAUUAUCCGGAAGUAGCUUUCAAAUGCUUAAAAAGUAACAGUGUAUUUUACAAUAUUAUCAGGCUACAUGGCCUCACUUUGUAUUCAAUAUAUAUUAUAAAAGAAAGCAAAGAACAAAAAUACAAAAUAAAUAAAGAAACUUACAUAGUGCUUUAACUUAUUACAAAGGGAUUUGUCUCCUUAGUAUGUUUCUACCAUGGGAGAUCGCCACUUUUAUCCCAACUAUCAGGUUAUCAUUACGUUGCCUUGGAGACAUCCUUACUUGACCUAUUGUACUUCAUAUGGCUCCUAACUAGUUGUCCUGCUGAAAUUGCAGACAUGAGCGACAGCUCCCCGGCAAGAACAGCAGACGCUACAAUGGUUGCUAGCGUCCUAGAGUUUGCCCCCGGUGUCUCUUUGCUUGCACCCUUCACUCCAAGUAAGUUCAAACAGGCUGAUUGAGAUGCAAGCUGAGUUCCACCACCAACAGUCCCAACCUAAAAGAUACAGCAACACAGAUAAUUAGGGACUAACAUAAAUAUCCAGAUUUUGUUUUGGCAACGUAAGUCCCUGUGUUGGAUAAUCAGACAGCAACACUAUCAAUUACCUCGAUGGAAGGCAUUGUGACAGAGAUGUGGAGAUCCUUGCCAUCAUUAACAGCUUCCAUCAUCGUGAUGCAAUGCGAGCUCUCGACGUUUUGAGCCGGAUCUUGGCCGGUAGCUAUGUAGAUUGCAGCAACGAUGUUACUGGCGUGAGCGUUAAAUCCACCCAGAGCUCCAGCCAUAGCUGAUCCAGUAAGGUUCUUCAGCAUGUUAAGCUCAACGAGAGAUUCCACACUUGUCUUCAAGACCUUCCUAACCACAUCACCCUUAAUGGUGGCUUCACAGACAACAGAUUUGCCUCGUCCUUCAAUCCAAUUUACCGCAGCCGGUUUUUUGUCGGAACAAUAGUUUCCUAUAUGCACAAAUUCAUAAAUAUCAGUGAUCCUAUGUCGGACAGUAAAAAGACAUAAUUGCAAGCCUAUACAAAAAAAUGAAACUCACCAGAGAUGCCAAUGACAUCCAUGUCAGGGAAAUCAGUUUGAAGGAAAUCCAAAACGUUUUGCACUCCCUUGGAAACCAUGUUCAUCCCCAUAGCAUCACCUGUACUGCAAGUGAAUCUAAUAUACAGAUUCUUUCCAGCAAUUGCACAUUUGAUACCCUGGAGCCUGCCAAAUCUACUUGAUCUGCAACCACCAAAAAGCCAAAAUUUUCAAUAUUAGCUUGAAUUUUAAAUCAAUCAAUAUGGAGUUCUAGAAAUACACAAACAAACCUGUUGAAAACAACAGACAAGGUCUCGAAAUUAUCAGGGUCCUCCAAAUACAACUUCAAAUCAGCUGCCCUUUUCGCAGUACCGAACCUUACACAUGGAGCUCUUGUCAUACCAUCUUUCAAUAGAACACUUGUAGCUCCACCAGACAAAUGAAUAGCCUUACAGCCCCUAUUAGUGCUAGCCACCAAGCACCCUUCCGUGGUUGCCAUAGGAACCGAGUACUCUCUUCCAUUAACCAACAAAGGCCCGGCAAUUCCAACGGGAAUUUGCACGUAGCCAACCGGCAUCUCACAACACUGCCCUAAAAUCGACUCGUAAUCAAACCCAUCCAAGGGCAAUCCAGAUAACGACUUCCCUGUUAAUCUUUGCAACGCUUCCCGCCUGAUUGCAGCCGCCCUCUUGCAAUCACCCAAUUUCGAUUCCAAGGAAUACGAAGGGGUUGUACCAGCCACUACAGAUUUAAUUAUUUCUUCAUCUUCCUCCGUUAGUACCGUCACAGGCUUUUCAUCGAACACCUUCUGAAUGGUCACGAUUGGUGCCGCAGGAGGCAGAGGUGGAAGCGAACAAUCGAGAGCUUGCCCGCAAGGGACCUUACGGGCUUCUUCCUUUGCAAGCAGAACUUCAUCAUCCUCUUCCUCGUCCUCGGCAAUCCAAACGUCAGGCGAUGGUUGGAAAACCAAAGAUUGAACGAAGUCAAUUCCAAAGAAACCCAAAAGGUAAAUAAAGGACGCGAAAAAUGAGAGAAUGGCGAUGAUCUCGGAAAAGGUGACGACAUGGAGAGGUGUGGAGGUACGGAUCUUCUCACGCCAACGGGAAAGAAGAAAAUAAACCACCGAGAAGAAGAGGGUGAAGAACAGGGCGUUCGUUAGGUACAAGGGAAGCGGCAGUGCGUCGGAGGCUUUACCGGUAUCUUCCUCUAAAGGAAUCUUUUUCGUUGGCUUGAGAGAUUGAACAGGUUUAGUAGAAGAUAGCCGGUGAGCCUCCAUUUUGGGUGUCGACGGUGGCGGAAGCCCGAGACGAACGGAAAUGAGAGACAGCCGACGAUUUCAAUUAGUUUUCAGAGAAGGGUAUGAGUUUGAGAUGGAGAGUUUACGUGGGGAAGGAAGCAUUUAUAGGACAAGAGCAGAAAGCGCGUGUGACGAGGCGCGUGAGGUAAAUGUUUGGCACGUGGUAGUGCAGUUCAUUACAACUUAACAAACAUCAGACGAGUCAAUGUUGUACAGUACAUGAAUAUGUGAAUCUCAUUUUUUUUACCUUAUUUCUAAUUUGGUAUUUCCCAUGCAGUAAACAGUGCUGCUAUUUUGAUAUUUUGCGUCACUUAUUUUUAUUAUUAUUGUCAUAUUAGUCCCUAUACUGUGUCUAAGUUAUGAAUUUAGUUCUUAUAUUUUAAUUUGAUUGAUUUUAAUAUUUAUAUUUUUUGAAUUGAUCAAUUUUUAAAUUUUUAAAAUUUUGCUUCUGUCUCAAACGGUAAUAGUUAAAAUCGUUUUGGUUAAAUUUUGCUAUUAAUCUUGUACCAUGUGCAAAGUUAUAGGUUUAGUCAAUGUUCUGUAAUUUAAAAUUCUAAUCUUGACCCGUUAAUUAACUCGUAUAAAUUUUUGAAAACAAUAUAACUUAAUUUAACGAAUUUUAAAAAUUUAAAAAUAAAAAGACUAAAAAUGGUCAAAUUAAAUAUAAAGAUUAAAGUCACAUGUUACAGCUAGUACAAGAACUAAUUAUAGGAGUUAACCAUUAGUAUACGUCUUUAAUUAUUCUUAUUUUGGGUUGAAAUGGUAAAACUAAUGAGAUUAAUUAUUAUGGUGAAAUAGAUUUUAUAAGAUAAUAAGUUAUGAAAGUAUAUGUUUUAUAUUAAAUUAUGUAUACAAAUUAUCAUUACGGAUACGCAACGUCUGCUCCAACACAAGCUUACAUUUUUUGACAUCUUGUAUCAUUAUUUUACAUUUUUUUUUGUCAUUACAUAUGUACAAAAAAGAGAAUAGGGCACAAUAUUGUAUAAUAUUAAUUAAAUCAUAGAAAAAAGUUAUUAAAUAAAUAAAAAUAAACUCAAAAAAUAUUAAUUGAAUAAGGUUUAAAUCGAAAUGAUAAAAUUAAAAUUUUAAGGAUUUCACUAUUACGGGUUCAAGUCUCAAUAAUUGUUGAUUCAUUUUGAAUUUAUAGAUUUUGUAUGAAAAUACGAAAGGAUAAAAACACCCCAUAAUAAUAGUUUGUUAACUAUUACUCGUUUUAAGUACAACUAGAUUAUGACACACCCAUAAUGUUAUAUGUUAUAUAAAAUAUCUUUAAAAAGCAAAACUCCCACUCUUCAUUAUAAAAAUAACGAUUUUUAGUCAUUUGUCAACUAUGUUGGUGUUUGAUUGACUUGUGACAGUAACUCUACUAACUCAAUCAAAGGUUUAAUUAAUAGUAUAAAUAUACAUGACACCUCUAAAUAAGUUGUUGUAAGACUCAACUGGAUAAUGACUGAAACAUCAUUUCUUUACGGGAUGAAUUAUAUUAUUUGGAGGGUUUUUUUCUUCUUAUAUAAAAAUAGAAAAAAACACAAAAUUUGAACUUAAAAUAUUAUAGUUUUUAACAUCUCAACUUUUUUGAAUCACAAGAUGACUUAAAAAGGGACCUAAGAUGAUACGGAUCGCAAUUGCACUCCAAAUCUCCUCGACUUAGACCUUGAACUAAGGAGUAUCUCCAUCAUAUAAGGAGAAGUGGUGGCCUUGAAAAGUUUUAAUCCAAAUAUGAUUCUUGAAGAAUUUUUUGGUGGAAGAGGUUGUUUUAUAUUAAAUGCAUAGGGGUGAUGCCAUAAUUAUUCAAGGGUUACGAUAAAUUAGGAUUAAACCAUUGCUUAUAUUAUGAGUUUAGCAAUUGAUUUCUUGUUUGAGUAAAGUCACACAGAGGUCCAUGGUGCACCAAAUUGUGUUACAUAUUUGCUCACGUUUCUUUCCAAUAUUGAUUGCUUUGUUCAUAUUGUUAUACUAAUACUUGCGCCAAAGCAUCUAUCCACAUCUCAUGUCACAAGUUGUCACAAUAGACAUGCUAACAAGCAUUGUACUGUUAAACAAGCAGAACUUUGGGCUAUUUAUGAACAACUUUAUCUUGACUUGGGAUAAAGGAUGUGGAUGGGUAUUUAUGAGGCACUAAACUUCAUGGCUGGUUGGUCUACAUGUGUGCGAGAGCCCUACAAGGGGCAUCCGAACUAUCAUCUUACAAGGUGCAUGGGGCCAAACAAUCGAGAGACAAGUUCUUUCUAUUACUACCAAAAAGAAAAAAAAAUGUAUAUGCUGUAUAUAUAGGUUAAAUGAACGUCGGUUUUUCUAAAUAAAGAAUCAAUAUUUGAUCACUUCAUAAUUUCGUAUUUUGUAUUGUGUUGUUAUUUUAUUGUGCUAUAAUUGUAUGUGUUUUCUAUUAUAUAUACUUACAUUAUUUUAUUUUGUAUGAUAUACGUUGCAUUGUGUAAUAUUUUUUUGUUAUAUUUUAGUGUAACGUACCAAAAUUUAAGCAGUUUCCACCAUAGACGAUAAGAUUGAAGGUUUUCCAACAUAAUUAAGCAUGCAUGAUACCACGUGCUAAAGACUUUUGACUGUUUGUCCAAGUUUUCUUCAGAAAAAUAAUAUAAAUCAUAAUGUUACUUUCAUUUUUUUUUUAUGUAUAUAUAUUUAUAAACAUAGUCAGGCCAACCAAAGUAGAAAAAAAUUAACAUGAUAUAUUAUCUUUUUUAUUGCCCAGUAUUUAUUUAGCAAAUAUUGACUGUAAUAUUGUCAUGAUUAGACCAUUAUUUUUAUACCAGUUUGGGUUAGAGUUUAGGCAAAUCUUCCACCUUCAAUUUAAACUCCAUUAAUAAAACUGUGAUUGUGAGGCAAAUAUUUAAGUGUUCACUUACUCAAAACAGUUGGAAGGAAAUUAAGGUCAUUUCCAGGCAGGUAGAAAUUGCAAUCAACAAAUCACAAUCAUAUGUAUUAGGUACAUGUUCAAGGUUCUCUGUUUAAGUCUAAAAGAUUAUUCGAUAUUUUGAUGAAUUUAAACAAAAAUGAUACUUAUAAUUAUAAUGAAUAAAUCCGAAUUUAUGUAUGUAUGCUUAAUGCAUGCACUAUUGUUUUAGAUAUUUGUAUUAUCUUUAUGUCAUAUUCACUUCAAUGUCAUGUCUGCUAUUAUGAUAAGGUGUUAUGGGUGGAACAAUUUAAGUAGAAAGGUUGAAUAGAAAACAAGUGUCUCCCAUUCAUUAAUUAUUCUGAUGAUGAAUUAAAAAGACAUUAUUAUAUUUCCAUUUGCCCCAGUAAUAUUCAUGAAAUGACAUUUAUAUUAAUAGUAAUAACAAGUGAAAGUGAUCAUCUAUUUUAGGGUGGUUAGUUAGUAGACUAAGGCUUGUUAUCUUUUACAUAAUUAUAUUUGAUAUGACUGUGAAAUCAAUAAUGGUUAAAUUAUAGUUUGGUGUGUAGGUGGUUGGAGUUUAAGGGAACUCUCAUUGUGGUGUGUAGCGGCGGGGUAGGAUACUUUCUGUUAAACCGAAACUAUAUUGCAUUUAUAAAGUAUGUGCAUACAAAUUGGAUUUUCUUUGGUGACGUAUAUAUACUUAUGCUAUCGCGAAUUGUUCUCUGUGUUGUACUUCUAUAUACUUAAGCGUUUACACUAAUUUUUAUUGUGAUGGGACUCACACUGAGCUUCAUAGCUCACCCUCUUUUUAUUUCCAUCUUUUUAGAUAACCCACCAGGCUAGGACGCGGACACAACAUCCGGAGGGUCUCAACUCUAUCUUGUUUAUUAAAAUGUUUUAAGUUAUUAUUUGAUAUUUUAUUUUUCCAUAUUAUUUUAUUUUGAACUAUGGCAAGGGACUCAGGUUUUGGUUUUAUUAGCAUGCAUGUCUUUUAAAUUGUUUUUUUUUAAAUGAUGAAUUAUGGAUUAUAAUCAAAUAUGCAUGAAAUAUAGAUUUUAUUAAAACCAAGUUAAAAACUACAUUCCCGAUGCAAGAUUAUAAAUAAAUUUUUUAAUAAAUAAACUAGAAAUUAACUUAAGUUAUUCAAUGAUAAACAUCCUUUACAAGAAAGAUGUUGAACUAAUUGUUUUUUAACUCAUGGAUUUUUAAAAAAAAAUAGAUUAAGUUUUCUUCUAAAAUAAAUAAAUAUUUUAAAUUGACUUUUUUUUUUAAUCUCCUGAACCUGAGUUUAACGUCUAGGCCGAAUUUAGAAAGUUACAUUUUAAAAUUUUAAAAUAUAUAUUAGCAUUUGAUUUAUUUACUGUGCAUAAAAUUAUAUAGCAAGAAAGAAAAUCUAAAAUCAAAUCAUAUGUUAGUUCAAAAAAUAGGCUUAAGGGUGUAAAAAGCUCCAGAUUUUUUUCAAAAAAACAACUAAGCCCUUACUCUUUUUUUUUCCACUCAAUUACGUACUUAAACUGCCAAAACAUAUUAAAAAGACCUUUUAACGGUUAACUAUUAAAGUUAAUGACCCUCAAUUUUUUUUUCAAUUAAAAUUGCCACAUGUCAUAUUAUGGUUGUGACACUUGAUGAAAAAUUAAUAAAAAAUAUUUUUAAAUAUAAAAAAUAUUUAAAUUUUAUUAAAAAUUAGAAAAAGUGUUUCCGUCCCUCUGUUUAAGUUAUUUGCAUGCUCUUUUUAUAAUAGGGGACAAAUUUGGAUACGUGUCUUAAAGUUGAUGAUAUAGCAUCUUGACUUGGCACUCCUGUCAGUUACAGUAGUGUUACAUUUUAGGACGAGGCAUCUUGGGGAAACUAACAAUCUUCGCAUAGCCUUGGUGUGGAAGACUCAUUCUAAGGUUCACAAACAAACUCCGUUGCUUGUGAACUACUCAUGAAUUGGCAACAUUAAUAACUCUAUUAAUGACAUGCGCGCCAAGCUUGUUAUGAAGUUCGCUACUUAUAGUAAAAAUUGAAAUAAUAAGGAAUAUAAGUUUUAUGCGAAGAAAAAAAAUGAAAAAUCUAAAAUUUUAGAGUCUUGAAUAUAAUUAUUUAUAUAUUACUUUCCUUAAAAUUUACAGCAAUCAUAACCAUUGAUUGUUGGAUAAGUAAUCUAGUUUUGAAAAGAAAAAAAGAAAGAUCAAAUAGCAAGUUGAACAAAUUGUUCACUACCUUAAAAUUUUGGUCUCAAGUGGUUGGCUGGCUGGCUUUGCUCAUUCUCUUAUUUAGACUUAGAAAUUUGAAUGCUCAUCAUCUCAAUCACAUGCAUCACUAUUGCUAUAUAUAUUUUACUACUCCAACAUUAUUUUCAUAUUUUUCUAGGUUUUAUAUACAUGAUAGUCAAUGGCAUGCAUAUAUAAGCAAUGAAAAUGAUGCAGACUGUUUUGUCUCAAUUAGCAGACGCCCGAUUGAGAUGGCUUAUGUUACAUCAAAUAUUUAUAUUCCACGCAUGUGACUUUUUCAUGUUUUAUAAUUGAAUUAAAUCGGUCGAACCACAAAUAAAAAAAUUUCAUCGAUGCUUUCUUCAUACACGGAAUUUAGAUUAUUUAGAAAAGAUAUCGAGCUUUUUAUCAUUCUAAAUAUCCACACAUUACACGUAUGGAUUGUUGGUAUCCAAUAUUCAGACAAGGUAAGAUAAAAUUGCAUGCAUUUGAAAGUUUUAUGGUAGGGAGAGUCGUUCUAGGGCAGACGAUCCAACACAAAAGCAUAUAAUAUACAUAUAUUAUUAUUAGAAUAUAUUAGAGGGUUAAGACCGGCGUUACAAAUUUCGUCAUGAUAAAUAAAGUUGGUUAAAACAUCAAUGGUGAUGGUAUAUUAUAAAUAUUGAUCAAGAAAUAUAAUUAUAUAUUUCGUGAUUUUAAUGAUUUAGUUAUUAAAUUUAUUGAUACGACUGUACUUGAUGUGUAAGUAAAUUUUCGAAUCGAUCUAAUAUAAUAUAUAUAUUAAUAUUAAUUUCUAACUAUUUAUUUUAUAUAUAAAAAUUAAAUUGUUUAAUAAGUAUUAAUAUAGGCGCUUAUUUAGAUCGAUAUGAUAGAGGUAUUAAAUCAAUUUGAAACUUUACAUGCACGAAAAGUAAAUUUAUAUCAAUAAAAUCAAUAAUUAAAUUGUUAAAUAUUAAUCAUAUUUUAGUUUUACUAAAUAAAUCUCUUUUCUUAUAUUCCAUUAGGGGAAAAGAAAGGAGUUUUGUUGAGUGUUUGAUGUUGAAAGAAAUUGGCUAACUGUCCAAAACCCAAAUUAACUCUAAAACUUCAUGUUGCAUUAAAUGCAGUAUUCUCCUAACAAAAUCACCGGCUAAUUAUUUUUUUUUACAUGUUUUCUAUAUGCAGUAUUUUUUUUUUUUUGCACUUAAUGAUUAUCGAGAUUUACAUUAAUAUAAUUAUAUUUACGAUAAAUCAUGAGAGGAAGAUAAAACCCUAACAGUAAUGUGAUUAGUUUGACUCGAACCUAGAUCAUAUUUGAAAUAGUGAACACCCUAAUUAUCAUGUCAACUAAUAGAUUAUAUUUUAUGUACGAGCCUUUGGAAUAACUUAGACAUGAAUUUGGUAAAAACAUUGAAAGGAAUUAUUAUAUAUUAUUCGUUUAAUUAGGCACAGCAAAGGUGGCUUAAUAGUGGGUUUAAACCUUCAAAGUUUAACCACAAAAAUCCCAUUCAUAAUUAACAUUCAAUCAAUCAAUUACUUAUUAAUGUUGGCAAAGUUGACUAUUUACUCACAAGCCAAAUAUAUUUGUUUUAUUAUUAUUAUUAUUAUAAUAUUUUAAGGACGUAUUGUAUAUAUUAUAAUAAUUUACAAAAAUUGUAAAAUUGGUAUAAUGGUUGGUAAACACAUAAAUUUGGAUAGUAAAUUUUUGUUAAUUUGUUGCAUGAUUAAAAUUUUAAAAAAUAAAAAUAAAAUUUAUAAUUACUUUUUUUGUUUUGGAUGAAAGUCAAAUCAAGUGUGAAUGGCCUAACAAUACUAGCUUUUUAGCUUCUUGGAUUAAUGGAAUAUUAACUGAAAAGAAAAUAUAAUGGAAAACAAAUUAUUUAUUUAUUUAUUAUUAUAGUUAAAUUUGAAUUAAAUUUUCAUAUAUUAUACAUGAAUUUUGGUGUUAAAAGGUGGAAAUUUCGGGGAUAUUUUUAAUUAAUUUUGAUGAUGAAAAAUGAAUUAAAUUUGGGUUUUGCUUCUUUAUCUACUUUCUCGGCCAUUUGUUUAACCUUUUUAUUAUUAUUUUUAUUUUGCAGAGUCUUAAUUAAUUGUUCAACUUGACUUCGUUGUUAUGGAAUUUUUAGUCCAAGGAAGAGGCAACUAUGGCAAGCUGUUAUAAAAUCAUGAAAAUAGUAAGAAUUUAGAGUGAUAUACUGCAUGACUGAUGGGAAAAUAAUUAGGGAAAUUUUGUCGGCUUUUGACUUCAAAAAAACAAUUUACAUCCAAAAUUACUAAUCAUUUCAUUUAUCUUCAAAAAGUUAUAAAAUGAUCAUUGAACUGAUCGAAAGUUUUCAUUUAAGUCACUAGGUUGCUAAGGUUUUUUUUUUUUUUUUAAGUCUAACUAGUGAGCUCCCUGUAACAAUUCGAUGAUCUGUACGAUAGAUCAGUACUCAUCGACAAGUAGAAUAAUAUAUCUUAAAUCCAAGUCGAUCUAAUGUUUAGUGUUAAAAAUCAGAGAAGAAAGUUGUUUAGAUUUUGGUUCGUGGAUUUGUACCAUUCAAAAUUGUUUUAUGAAAAAAAAAUUCAACUUUAAAAGAGAAAGGGAAUGUGAACCGCCCAAUGAUUUUAAUGAAACAUUUCGACUAGUUUAAUGACCUUGGAUGUAAUUUAAUUAGUGUCUUGUUUGAGUUGUAUAGUUAUGAGCUAGCAAAAAUGUUUGCUUAGGCAUGAUGCGAUUUGGAAGAUCAAAAGGUGAGUUAAGGAGCAUCAAAAACUUGACGCUUCAAUCAUAUUCGAUAACUAAGUCCAUUCGCAAACUAAAGAAACUUACAAGGAAAGUUUUAAAGAAGGAGACGAUGGAAUGAGUUGAGAUCGCAACCGGUUGGAUAUCUGUCUAAAAUUCUAAGUCCACAAAUUAUUUGAUUUUUAAUAUCCAAAUCCGAAUUAAAUAUCAUUAUCCAUCGAAUAUGAUAUUUGACUCCGCAUUAGUUACAAAGAUUCAAACACAUGUAGUUUCUCUUAAAUUUUAUUCUUUUGUAUUCAUAAACUUAACUUUAUAAUAAGUUAGAUAUCCUAAUUUAAAUCUGCAAAUUUCGAAUCAGAUAUCCUAAUCUAAAUCUACAAGUUAGAUAUCCUAUGCAUUAUAUUAAUCUAUUUUAUGUUUUUAUAAGUUCGUUCAUAUUUAUAAAUAACUAAUUGAAUUCUAUUUUAGAUCAGUUUAUAUUAUACUUUUAAAACUUUAAAUAAAUUUUAAAUUUGGUACAUAAUAGCUUUUUAUUAAAUUUUUUGAAAGAAAUUUAUUAAAAUUUUAGGCUAAAAGGGUAUAUAAACCCUUAAACGUUUCCAAAAAAUCAAUCAAGUCCCUAUACUUUUGUUUUCACUCAGUUGAUCCCCCUAACUUUAAGAUUACAAUAAAUUAAGCCCUUUGAUCCUUAAAGGGUAACAACUAUUGUUUUGGGGGUUGUUUUUACCAUAUGGCAUGCUAAGAUUGUGCCAUGUGGUGAAAUCUAGCGUUUAAUACUUAAAAUCAUUAAAAAUUAUAAAAAAAGAUUAUAGGAAUCAUACAAAUUAUAAAAAUUACAAAAUAAUUAAAAUACUAAAAAUUAAAAAAACUAUAAAAGUGAAAAAAAUUAUAAAAAUCAUUAUAAAUGACUCAAAAACUAUAAAAAUUAUUAUAAUAAAAAAUUUAAAAUUUUAUAUGAAUUAAAAAAAUAAAAAUAUAUAUGGAAAUUUUUAAAAUAUAAAAAAUUAUUAAAAUUAUUAUAAAAAUAUAGAAAAGUGCAAAAAAUUAUAAAAAAAAUUAUUACAAAAUUUUCAAAAUAAUAGAAAAUUACAAAUAUAUAUAAAAUUACAAUAAGGAAUAAGGAUAAUUAAAAAUACAACCUCGGUUGUCACUUGCAUCCUUAACAUAUUUCCCUACUUUAAUUUGCAUCUCAAAACACUUCUUUGUCAUUGAUGAUGGACAAAGGGGGUGCAAGCUUUGGGGAGGUUUGUAAUAGAUGAGCACAACAGGUAACUUCAAGGAUCAAAUGAUGGUUAGUGCAAAUGAAAAAAAUGUUUUUUAUAUUUUUAGUUUGUUUUAUAAUUUUUAUGAUUUUUAUAUUAUUUUGUAAAUUUUAUUAUUUUUAAAUAUUUUUCAUAAUUUUUAAUUUUUUAAUUUUUGUAAUUCAUUUAAUUUUUUCUAUAUUUUACAUUAUUUUUUUGUUAUGAAUGUUUUAUUAGGUGGAUGUCCAUUAAGAUCUAGAGCAUAUCAUUCUAAUAAUCAUUAGAAGUAGAGUUCUAUUUCAUUUAUACUUCUUAUAUCUAUAAAUAUAAAUUUUGGAGAAGCAUUGUAAAUAUUCCGAUUGAUCAAUAUAAUAUGCUCUCUCUUUGGUGUCCUAUUUUUUUUUGUUAUUUACUUUCUGUAUUUUUAUUUUAUAACACGCUAUCAGCACGAUUCUCUUUUAUUUUAUAAUCCGGUCGCUCCAAAUCUAUUGCUAACGUUGUUGUCAAUGACCUUCUAGAGCUAUUGCAAUUUCAGUAUUCAAUUAAGGCCUGUGCAUUAUGGGUAAUCAUUAUCCAAAGAAAUUUAUAUAAUCCUUACGUGGGUGAUGACGAUGAUGUUAAAGAUCUUCAAGUAUAUAUAUAUUUUACUAUGAUUUAUUUAUUAUAUCAUAUUUAUUAUAAUUGGAGACUAAUCAGAACAACAUGAAUAGAUAGAUUCUGAUUUGAAAUCCAAGUAUAUUUGCAAUGGUAAUUAUGAAAUAAAGAAUCAAUGGAGGCGUUUAGAAGUUUGUCCUACUAUAUUUGUUGCAUUCCUCGAAGUGAAUGCAAACAUAAAGAAAAUAAAAGAUAUAAUCAUGAACCACUAAAAGUGAGAACAUAGUAAUAAAUAAGAGAACAAUGAGAGUUCUCAAGAUAACUUUUUAAAGAGUAAAAAUAACUUAUGUUAUCAAUGUGAUAUGAAAUAUUAUUGGUCACAUAUGUGGCGUAUGCCCAAAUAAUUUGUUAUUCUUUGAGAAAGGAUAUGAGAAUGUAGUAAUAAAUUCUACCAUUACAGAUAGAAAAUAUUUAUCUUAUUUGGUACUGAAACAAACAAAUAUUAUUCAAUAUUUGAUAGUACAAAAUUAGUUGAAAGCUCCAGAAGAGCAAAUUUAUUAAUAUCUAAAAAACACAAAAUUUGUGAUGUUAACGCAUUAGUUUUAAAAGAUAUUCAUUAUAAUGGAUAUCAUAUUGAGAUUGUGAAUGAAGGAAAGAUUAUAUUUCAUAUGAAUCACUAUUGCUAUAAAUAUCUAUUUUGAAAGGAUGAAAAAAGGAAGGAUUAAGUUAUUGAUUACUCUUGUUAUUAAAUUGAAUUGACUCUGGCUAUUUUUGUGAUAUUCUUUUGUCAUCAUCCUCUUUAAGGGGUUGAAAGCAAAAUAUUUUACUGUGAAAGAUCUACUUAUGAGCAAUAAAAUAUAGUAAAUCUAUCUAAAGCUCGUUAUGGUUGGAUGCACCUGAAGUUGCAAAUUUUUUUUUAAAACUCUGAGUAUAACUCUACAAUAUUUAGAAUAAAUUCUCAAUCAAAAUUAUGUGGAAAAAUAUUACUGAAAAAACUUAUGUAUGAAAAUUCAUUGGUUAUAUACAUGUUAUACACCUAGAAAAUAAGAUCUACUCUCAAAGUUUGUUAUUAAUAGAUUUUGAUUAGAUUCAAAGUUUACUACUGGAGCUUGAUAAAAAUCUUCAAGACUCAACGCAGAAAAAAAUGUACAUCUUUAAAUAUUAAAUCAACUUGAUAUAUGGUUUAAAUAUUUGAGAUUGUCUUCUUUUUUAUUACAUGGGUUACAUAUUAUUUUAAACAUAUCAUUUGUUCAUGAAAAUGAAUAUUAACUAAUUUAUUUAUAUCGCUAUAAUUAAAUAAUAUAUUUGCUUAAAACAUACCUAGUAUGCAGAUUUGUGUUAAUAAACCAAUAAAAUUUAUGGUUAUUCAGAUUUGAUUUAGUUCAAAGAAUUCCGUGUGUUAUUUUUUUUAGAUAAUUUUAAAAAAAUAUAUUUUAUGAUAAUAAAUUAAAAAUAGUUAAAAGGAGAACAGAGAAAGGAAUUACAAAUUGAAAGAAAGAAAUGUUGGGAAAACAUGAAUAUUUUGUAAAAUUUGAAUCUUCGGAUGUCAAAUUCCAGGUUCGAAGUUCCGUUUGGGUUUUUGCGUUGAAAUUUCAGACAGUAAAGCCUAUGGUUUGCGAAAUCCAUGGUUUUUGGGUCCGAAUCAAUGAAGUCAUUAGUUUUCUCCAUAUUUUAAUCAUAUAAUUUUUAAAAAAAAUUAAAUGUUUAUUUAAAAGUUAUAAAAUCUAGUUCAAUCGAAUUUUUAUUUUGAUUCAUACCGAUUGCGGAUCAAUUGAUUCUCUUAGUCUAAAUUGAUGUAUCAGUCAAUCUUCGAUUUGAUUAGUUUGGCAUAUCAAUCUAGUCCGAUUUUAAUAACAUUGAAAAUUUUUGAGAAGAUAAAAGGAGAAUAACAAAUGAUGAAGGUUAAAAUACGUUAUAAGUCUUUGAGCUCUUCACAAACUUGGAUUUAGUCGUUGUACUUUUGCUUUUAGGAAUUUAGUCUAUUUAUUUUCAUAUUUUAAAAUUUAGGUUAAAUAGUUAACACUGUUAAUUUUUUUUGUUAAAUUUAUUGGUGUGACAUUUUGACAUAAAAAAAAUUCAAUUAAUAGUUAUAUAAUUAAAAAUGAUGUAAUUAACUUGAAUUUAACAAAAUAAAUUUCAUAUUGAUAACAGUUACGCAAAAACUUUGAAAUAUGAAAAAAAAUAAAAAGAUUAAAUUUCUUACAAUUAAAUCAAAAUUAAAAAUUAAAAAAAUUAAAUUCCCAAAAAUAACGAUGGACAUAUUUUAACUAAAAUUAAAAUAAAAAGAGGAAUUUUAAAGUUUGAGCGCCAACCCAAAUUUGACCCGAAAUGAUGAGCCUUUCGGGUUGAUCUUGGGAGCCUCGAAACUUCACUCUUUCUAGUUGUUUUUUUUUUUUUUUUUGAAAAAAUUAUUCCUUUAAUUCAUUAUUUGAUUUAGUAUUUAUACUUAAUAUUUUAUUUUUAUUUUUGACUAAAAUUUAUGAUUUGUAAUUAUAUAUUCUUCUGGUAGUGAGUUGUGCUGAACAUUUUGCAAAAAAAAAGAAGGUGAGCCCCUACAAAGUAUUAGAGAGUUAAUCAAUAAAAAGUGUGAUGUAGAAGUAGGCAGCGGCAAAUUCGGGCCCUCAAAAAUGAAAAAUUAACCUUUUAAUCCCUUCACAAAAUUUAAAAUUAAAAGUUAAAGUACCGCAGAAAUUUUUUUAAUAAUAAUGAAUUAGAGGUGUUCAUAGACCGGGUCGAGGCCAACCAAAAUCUUAGGCCCGUUUGCCCGAGCAGCUGAAAAAAUGGGUAUAAAUUUUGCCCAAACCUAACCCGGCCCGCCCGUAUUAAAGUUUUUUAUAUUAUUUUAUAUAUAUAUUUUUUAUAAAAAAAUAUAGUACAUCAAAAAUACUAAAAAUAUUAAAAUAAAUAUUUCUCAACAAAUUAAAAAUAAGUUAAAAAUAUGUUUACUUAAAUAACACUAAGAUAUGUGCAACUUAACAAAUAAAUACCUCUAAAAUAGUAACAAAAUUAAUAAUAAAACAAGAGUUAUAUAAUAUACAACCAAUAAUAGUAAAAUAAUAGCAACAUAAUAGCAAAAUGGUAACAAAAUAGUGAGAAAACAACAAGAAAAUAAUAGCAAAACAAAUUUUUUUUGUUGCAAAUUCAGUCUGGGCCAGACUCGGGCAAAAAAGCCUUAUCUGAGGCUCAGCCGUUUUCUAAACAGACCUUUUUUUUUUUGCCCUAUCCCAUUUUUCGAGCCUAUAUUUUUACCCUAAACCUUUCCACUUUUUAAAUGGGUCUUUAAGCCGAACUAGAUUAUCCGACCCAUGAACAGAUCUAUAAUGAACUCAUAAAUUGAUACAUAAUAAAAUUUAAUUUCUACCCCUAAAAUCAUAAAUUGCAACUACUUUGGCGGCUAUUAUUUGCAUGAAGAAGUAGAAGAGGGGAUUGAUUAAUUGAUCCUUUGUGUUGGCCCAACAAGGUAAGUCAGAUUGAAUGUCAUGUGAUGGCCAUUUUGCUGGCUUUACACUUAAGGUUGCAUCACAUACUAUUCACUACAAGAAAUUAAGGUUUUAGCGGCAUUUUUAGUGGCGAUUGGACGAAAAAAGCCGCAAAUAUUAUACAUUAGUGCCGCUAAUAGAAAAAAGCCGCAAUAGGUAAAGUAGUAGCAGCGUUUAUGAGAAAAACGCCGCAAAAUGUCAAGCAGUAACGACGUUUAUGAGAAAAACGCCGCAAAAGGUCAAGCAAUAGCAGCGUUUUUACAAACACCGCAAAGUAUCAUUUUAUUUUAAACGAAAAGGUGUUGUUUUGCUCUGCUAAAAAUCCUUUGUUUUUUCCCUAAACCAUAACCUCAAAAUCCUUUUUUUCCCCAAAUCAAAAUCCCCAAAUCGAAAUCUCAAAAUCCCUUUGAUUUUCCCCGACUGUCUGCUGCAUCGCCGUCAAUUGUCCUCUAUGUUGCAUCGUCGUCGACACUCCUCUGCCACAUCGCCGUUGACACUCCUCUGUCGCAUCACCGUGUAAGUUUUUUUCGUUUGUUUGUGAUUAUUGUUAUUAAGCUGCAAGAUUUAAUGAAUGCUUAGCCCUAAAAUUGCAUGUUCUCUGAUGACAAUAAUUUGCUUUUAAAUCAAGUAAAUGUUAUCUGUUAAGGGAACAAGAAAAAGUAGAUGUUAUCUGUUAUAUAGAGUAUCUGAGCAAAAAGCACUCAUUUAUCUUCUUUGAUUUGGUAAGCUAUAAAUAUGGCUUUUAUAGGAUACAAUUCUCUGGCUUUGUAGGUGAUUACUACUUGCUUUUUUUUUAUACAUCAAUAAUAGAAUCAAUUAGAAGGAUUACAAUUUUGAAACUAUUUCUUGCCAUUGUCUUAUUUCUUCAUAAAUGAUUUGGAAGUGGAUUAGAAAAAAUAAAAAAAAAGAUUUGUUUGAUCCACUGUUAAGGGAGUUUAGUUUUUCCAUGGGAUCUGCACAUUGAUAUGCUUCUUAGGGUAUAUUUUAAAAAAAAUAAAAUUAAAGAACAAACUAAUUUAAAAAAAUAUGAUAUUCGUAUGAUUUAAAAUGUUUAUGUAUAUAAAAUAUUUGGCCCUGAAGUUCACUUGGGUAUUUGUAAUUUUUUUUCAUUCAUAUUGGUACUUGCAAUUAACUUGGAAAAUAUAAAAUUUUGCAUUUAACUUGGAAAAUAUAAAAAUUUGGAGAUUUGGAAAUUAAAAAAUUUAUAUAAAUUUGGUGAAGUUAGUCGAGAGUUGAUUUUGAUACCAUUGAUCAGAUCACUGCUUUUCUCAAACCAAUGAUUCAAUAUGGACCAAAUUUGCAAAUUCUCACGUAAAAUACAGAUAAUAUAAGUUUGGAGACAAAGAUUAGAAAGUAAGUUAAAUGCAAGUUUUAAAAUUGAAAAAGGAAAAGCUUAUUUAUAUCAUGUAUCAUUCUGUUUUGUUUAUAUUUGCAUAUAAUCAACAUUCUUUCAUAUGUUAUAUAAACUAAAGUCAUAUCCCUGUGUAUCAGUGGUCGAAAAAUCACAUCAAAUGGCCAAUGAGAUCUUGAUCAGGUUGUUGGAAGGAUCGUGGUUGCGCCUUGAGAAAUUAAGUAAAUGCUUUCCUAUGGCUAAAAAUUAGUUUUUGUUUGAAAGAGGAAGGUUUCAAGAGGUAGUGUAUAACACCCCUAACCCAUAUCCGUCGCCGAAAUAGGGUUACGGAGCAUUAUCGAAGUUUACAAAUUAAAUUGACAGAUAUUUCAUAUCAUAUUACAUUUACGUCAGAAACCAAUCAAAAUCAAACAUAUUGUCCCUUAUACGAGCUAUCAAAAAUAUGCAUUAGAAACAAGUUGGGACUAAAUUGAGUACUCAAAGAAUUUUUUUUCAGAAAACACUGAAAUUUUUCAAAGUUGCAGGGGACACACGGCAGUGUGGCCAAGCUGUGUGACUCACACGGUCAAAAGACACGCCCGUGUCUCAGGCCGUGUGGGCAUUCGAAAUAGGGACACACUGCCGUAUCCAGCCCGUGCCCAUACCCGUGUAACUCUCUAACUUGGGUCACACGGCCAAGUCACACGCCCGUGUGCUAGGCCGUGUGAGCAUAUUGACUUGCGUAAUUUAAAAAAAUACAGGGGACACACGGCCAUGUCACCUGGCCUUGUGUCACACACGGCUGAGACACAUGCCCGUGUCUCUGCCCGUGUGGAUGAAAAUAGGCCAUUUUACAAGCCAUAUUUCUCACCCAAUUUAUUGUCAACCUACCAUCAUCAUUAUGCAUAUUCAACUACUAUUUUACCUUUCAUCAUUCAACCACUAAUCAAUUCACACAUCAACAUUAUAAGGCAAUUUAUGCACUUACCAAAAUACCAAAAUACAAGCCAAAUAAGUGGCUAGUCCCAACAAAACACAUAUAAGCCAACAUUUAGCCAAAAUAACCUAAACAUGUCAUUAUAACCAAAAUCAAACAUUCAGAAAUAUCGAUAGAACCGAUGGAUAGUGUGAUAUAUCUAUGAUAAGCUUUCAACCCAAUCAAGCUUCCGAUAAUCUGAAAAAUAAAGGAAAACAAAUACGUAAGCAAUGAUUACUUAGUAAGCUCGUAUAAACUUUAAUCGUAUCAAUUCAUUUCAUUAUGAAAUUUAUAAUUAUCAAGAAUAAACAUUUAUUGAUACCACACCAUUCAAGAAACCAUAUUUAACAACUCACAAAAUGAGUAAAUCCACAGCAUCACUUCUACAUAUUAUUUCUAGUAUAGUAGAGUUUUAAACAACUUUAUACUCUUCCAAAUUCCUUUAUUAUCAUUUGCACUUCUUUACUUUCCACACCCAUUCCAUAGGCGUAACACACAAGUCAUAAACAUAUCAUACCUCCAUAACCACAAGCUAGUGCAUUUAAACAUAGCCCUUUUUCAAAUUAAUCAUAUGAGAAGCCAUUUUAUAAGAAAUUGCAUAAUUUAAAACUUACCAUUCUUUCAUGAGCACAAGCAUAUUUUCAUUUGAGCACUUACCAUUUUAAUGCAUCUUAUAAUUAAACAUAUUUCCAUUCAACCAAUAGCUUGGCACUUGCCUAAGCAUCAGACAAUAACACUUGUUAACGUUAUUGAACAUAUUUCAUAUAAAUUCAAUAUCGAUAACCUUAUUAUCUCAACAUAUCACACUUGAGUUUAUUAUUCGUCUCAACUUACAUAAUUUUCAUGUAUCAACAUAUCAAGAUAUUCAUAUAUAUAUAUCAUAAUACACAUCAUUCUCUUAUCGUUUCUUCAUAUACAGUUAUCAUCCAAGACAACUCCCGAGAUUUUUCCAUUCGAAGAACGACUUACAAAUAAGAGUACAUUGUUAACAGAAGCUCAUAAGAGCUGAACAGAAGCUCGUAAGAGCUGAAUAGAAACUCAUAAGAGUUGAACAGAAGCUCGUAAGAGCUUAACAAAAACUCAUAACAGUUGAACAGAAGCUCGAAAGAGCUGAAUAGAAGCUCGUAAGAGCUGAACAGAGAAUCGUAAGAGCUGAACAGAAAGUAAAACACGAGAGUUCACAAAAAAUGCUGAACCCCAGUUUACUUGGGUAAUUUAUCGAUAUCUUCCUCCAAUACCAUCAUAUGCCAAAUCACGAAUGUACUCAAAUCCUUCAUUCAAAUCAGACUGAAUAUCUAAUUCAAUAUUAUGGUUCGAACAUUAAAUUACUUCUAGCAAUAGAAUAUAUGCAUAAUACCAAUCAUCAAUUUAUACAAAAAUAAAUUUUAACUGUACGAACUUACCUUGCUAAAUUGCAGAAUUACCAAGAUUUAGGGGCAUGUUGGUAAUUUUCUAUUUUCCUCAAAUUUCUACUCGAUCUUGAUCUAAAUUAAUAAUUUCAUUCAAUAUUUUAAUUUAGACAAUAAAAAAAUUCAUUUCAAGUAAUUUGGUCAUUUUUUUAUAUUUUUAUAAAAUUACCCCUAAAUUUUUACUUUUAUUCAAUUUAGUCCUUGAGUCCAAAACAUGCAAAUUCACCAUUUUUAAUGCAAACCCAUGCUAGCUGAAUACUCGUGGAAUUCAAUACAGCCCAUUUUUGCAAUAAUUUCAUAAUAAACACUUGUAUUUUUACCUUUUCACAAUUUAAUCCUAAAAUUAAUAUUUAACAAAAUAGCUUUAUAAAAUCAUCAUACAAUAAAAUUAAAGCUCUAAAUCCAAGUUAUUCAUUAGAAACAUCUAAUAUUCAUCAAUGGUCACUUCCAAAAUUUUUAAUAAAAUAAAAAACUAAGGUAAAAUUUAGUUGGACCUAAUUGUAACAAUCUCAAAAACAUAAAAAUUACAAGAAACGAGUAAGAAUUGGGCUCACAUGAAGCAAAGAUAUAAUGGUUUAAUUCGUUGUUUGUAAUGAAAAUAAUGUUAAGUUAUGUUGCAUUUGUUUUGAUUAUAUAUUUCGUUUCUAACUCUUUGAUUGAUUUAUUAGGAGAAACUAAAGGAUAAAAGGGCGGAGUAUGAAGCGAUCGCUUCGAGUGAUAGUUCUAUUAAUCUUGAUGACAUUGAUAACCGAAUUAUUACUGAAUUUUUGGGUCCUGAUAGGUAUGGUCGGGUUCGAUUUCAAGGAUCUUUUGUUAACCCAACCCAAUAUUUUGGAUCCAGCUCGCAGCAAUACAUGCCUUUGGGGAAUCAGGCUCAAGCUGAAGUUCAGAGGUUAAGAGACCAGAUGGCUCAGAUGCAAGCGAGCACAGUUGAGCAAAUUGAUCAACUUAAAGCGAAGGCAGCAUCGAGAGAAGCAGAUGCUCAAAGAAAAUAUGAAGAACUUCAGCUAUAACUUAAAGCAGAGUCAACAGUGAGGGAAGUAGAGGCAAGCAGAAAAUAUGACGAACUCCAGCUACAACUUAAGAAUAUGAUGAAGAUGUUUCAGUAGCCGCAGAAUUCGUCAUCUUAGACUUUUGCUUUCUUAUUAUGAGAAUAUUUUAACAAUAUAACUUUUAAAUAUAAUAAAUUUUGUUAUUUCAUUUAUUAAUUUAGAUCAUAUACAUAUUUCUUUCGUUGGAUUUGAAGUAUCAUUUAGAUUUGCAGUUUUUGGUUCGAUUUGAUGUUACAGGAAAUUAUGUUUGACAAUUCGGCUUCUAUAUGAAUGAAAAUGGGUUGUUAACAUGACUUUUAGCGGCGUUUUUUGGGAAAAGCAUCGCUAAAGGUCAUGUUCUUUAGUGGCGUUUGUUGGGAAAGCGCCGCUAAAGGUCAUAUUGUUUAGUGGCAUUUGUGGGGAAAGCAUCACUAAAGGCCAUGUUCUUUAGCAGCAUUUAUGGGGAAAACGCCGCUAAAGGUCAUGUUCUAUAGCGGUGUUUUUGGGGAAAGCGCCGCUAAAGGUCAUGUUCUUAGCGGCGUUUUUGAGAAAAGCGCUGUUAAAAGUCAUGUUCUAAAAAAAGCAGCAAAAUUUAGCAGCAUUUUUUGCGGUACUUAUCAAAACGCCACAAAUAGUUUUAGCGAUGCUUAUAAGCGCCGCUAUAGGCCCAAAAAGACACCGCUAAAAAUCUUUUUUUGCUGAUUUCACAUAUAUUGUUUCAAGAUUUAUCCCUUUUGAAUUUUUAUAUGGUGCAUAAAUUAAGUAAAAUGCUAGUUAAAACGUAUAAAAACUUAUCAAAUGGAAAUAUGUAUUAAAAAUCCACUCACUUUCCUUUUUUUUUUAGGGAUAAAUCUCAAAAUUAUAUAUGAACUUUGAUUUAUCCCUAAAGUCUAAUAUACAAUUAUUGGCCUUUUUUUAGUUCACAACAAUCAUAAUACGUGCUCUAAAUUCAUUUGUACAUUUGUAAAGUGAAUUAAAUAAUGAAAUUAAUACCAUAAUCAUUCACAAGACUAUUUAAAAAAUUAUCUUAAGUUUAACCAUUAAGUUUUACAAACUAUUUUUUUUAAAAAAUUAGAAGUAUGCUUAUAAUUAUAAUUAUUAUAUUUGAGGAUUGAUCUACUUACACUAAUAUAAAAAUAAAGCUACACUUUCAUGACUUUUUUUUUUACGGAACACUUCCAUAAUUUUAACUUUUUGUAUAAUUAUAUUUAAUUCUUUUUAAUAACACAAUAAUAACAGGUUAAAUGAACUGGUCCUUCUAUUAUUCUAUUAGCACUAUUUCUUUAAAUAUAAGUUUUUUUUCCAUUUAACUUAAUUUAUAUAAAAUGGGUUUUAUACCAAAAAAAAAUUCAACCCGAAAUAACUUAACACCAAAUUCAACUGAAUUUAUGUGAGCUGAUAAUAACAAAAAUUAGAAUAUAUUUUAUUUUUAAGUCAUGAUUUUUAUAACAAUUAAUUCAAGCAGCCUUCCACUGGAAGAAUCUGAGUAUAAUAGUAGUUUGUUUGGCAUGACAAAGAAGAAAAUUUACUAAAAAGAAUGUAGAGGUCAAAGGCAACUAGUGUAGUCAAUAUUUCCCACCUACCAAUGGCCAAGACUUUUUUUUUGCUGAAAAAGAAAUUCGAUGAGUUUCAAAUAUGAGAAUAAUCUUUUCUUUUUUUAACCUAAAUAUGAGAAUAAUCAAAAUACAGGGUAACAGCAUUUUACGUUAUUUAAUCGUGUUUAUUAUAUUCUGUAUAUUUAAUAAAUAUGAGAUGUUGUGUGGCGGUUGAUCACUUCAUUCUUUAAUUAUGAAGUUGGGGUUUGAUUUUCGUCCAUGGGAACGGAGUAUAUUUCUUGAUUAGUCGCUUAUCUUUUUGGAGAAUAUUCACGACAAAAAGGAUUAACCAUUGUUACCGGGUAUUAUUAUAAGUUAAUGGAGCACCAUGGAAUGAAACACAUUUCAUGACUAACCGUGUACCUCUUUAAAAACCACCUAUGACGAAGGGAUUAGUCAUUGCUAUAAAUUAAUAGAGUACCAAAUUAAUUGGAUAAGAAAGGAAUUAGAAAAUAUAUAUAAAUGAUGAGAUUUAAAUCAAAGAUAUCGUAAUUUUUAAUCUUUAUUUUAUCAUUUCAAUUGAUGUCUCAUUUAUUUUUUUAAUAUCAAUUUUUUAUUAUACAUUUGUGGUAUAAUUCUGUUUUUCACCCCCACAUUAUAGAGUUCCACCUAAUGAAAGUUUGUGCUUUAAUAAUAGUCCACUCUAUUUUCUCUAAAAAUAGUGACAGCUUUAAUUUUAACCUAUUAUGUUUUCUUUAAAAAUUAUCGUAGUUAUUGUCUAACACAUAUUUUUUAAAAAUAUUGGUGGUUUUUAUUUUUGUUUUUGUUUCUACUCGUGUUUUGAUAUAUACAUAGAUUUGUAAAAAAAAAAAAGGUGUCGCUAUAUCUAUUGAAAACUAUUCUUAGAGAACCUCACAGGACAGAGCAUUGUGAUGGUACUCAUAAAAUUAGACUUCAAGAUGUUCAGGAGGAGCAUAAACUAUUUGAGAUUUGGUUUUUCAUGCAUCACUAAUGUAAUGGGUCUUUUAACAGUUUGUCUCUCUUUUAUUUCAGAUUUUUUUUUCAUACAAUAACAUUUGUACAUCAAUUUAUAAUGUUUUAUUUAUCGUUUCUACUAAGUAACAUGUUUAUGUACACUUUCUUUACGGUCCCUAUUAAUACAAAGUAUUUUUCUUCAUAAAAAAUGUGUAUUUUCUUAAUGUGUUCAAAAAUAAGUUUAUUAUGAUUCUUCUACUAUAUUAGAAAAUAUAUAUAUUUAACUCCCUCUACUUAAUUUUCUUUGAUACAAAACUCCCUCUACUUUAAAUUAGUGUAACUUAGCCCUAUUUUUUUUUUCGUGCUAUUUGUAAGAUGAUAUGAAUAUUUUUUAAAUGUCCUUAACUGCUCGAUUGACAUAUAAAUUUAUUAUGAGUUAAAUAUGAUUGAUUGAAUUUUUAUGUCUCUAAUCAUGUGAUCAAAUAACAAUAGAAGAAAAAAACGAAACAACCAAGGUUGUUAUCAAUUUAGACUAGAGAGACCAAAUGGUGUCAAAUUAAAGGAAAUAAAUCCUAAAUAAGACUAAAACCAUAAAUAGAUAGGAUUUAACCGUAGCAGGGCAUAACUAAUGUCUUUCACUUGCCUGCUCACUCGUAUGAUAGAAUUGAAACGACUGUAGAGAGUUGUUUUAUUAAGGUGAAGAUUUAACCAUAAUUUAAAAUAUGCUUAAAAGAUGGCAUAUCCAAGAUUAGUAAGUAAAGACACAAGCACUUCAAAUUAGAAGAAAUUUUCAAUUUAUAUCAUCAGGAUAUGCUACAAAAUUAAAUAAAUAUAGGAUGGUAUCUUGGGUCUUGGCUAUUGGAUUCUCAUCAAAGCCAAAGUCUAUAUAUAAUGAUCAAAAUUGUGAUGAUGGCAUAAAAUAAGUAUGUAAUAUUAUGUAACAUAAUGAAUUUAUGGCAUUAUUAUCGGACCUAUACAUGCCUGGAAUAUGUUGCUUAGAGCAUGUUGAACUUCAUUCGAGCUAUGAUCGCUUCGAACCAGAUCGACCAACAGAUGAAAGAUAUCUGCAAUGUACUUUCUGCAGGAAUCCUUCUCCAAGCAAUUCAAUGCCUUCAAUGCAGACACAAGUAGAGGUGUCCUAGCUGCCAUUUUUUCCUUUUUGGCUACUCCCAAGGGGAGAAUCCAAUGAGUCACCGGUAUCUCAACCGGUUUCUGCCGCCGUGCGUAGUUGUAAUCGGUGCAGCUAAGGUAUAUCAGCAAUAUUUUUUCACACACUGCCACUAGUGAUCUUAGGUUCAUCUCCUUUGGGGCGGAUGAAUUGUUUUUGAUUAAAUCUUGGAGGAAGUUGAGGUAAUUUUGAUAAGCCUCGUUCUCGAAGUGAACCAUGGGCGGUUCGGAGGUCUCCAAGAUCGAGCAUACUUUCUUUAUUUUCUUUUGCAGGACAGUCUCGGAGUUCAGUUGCUGAGCAUGUGAUGUAAUGGAAGAAAAUAUCUCGACAAUGAUAUUUAUGUUGGAAGCUACCAAGAAUUGUAGGUUCGCUUUGUAUAUAUCAGUUAUAACCUGAAAUGAUGAAAGCCAAAACAAGUAUGAUCAUGUCAAAAUGAUUCCAAGGCAUAGAGAAGAGUCAUUAUUAGCAUUGCAACAAAUAGAGUGUGUAUGGGAGAACCUGCAUAAUCAGUAGCUGGACCGCGAUAAAACUCUUCAUUUUCGAAACCACAUAAGCUGAAGUUUGCAGAUUAUCUUCCUCAAGGUCAUCCUUGGUCAGUCCAUGAUCAGAGCUUGUUUCAGUAUUAGUAGAGGAUCGAGAAUUCUCAGGCACCUUGAUGUCAUCCAUGCUUCUCAAAAUCUUCAUAAACCCAGGCAAUGUUGAAGUGGCAGCUUCUUUUAUAGCUAGAAGGAUUUCUUGCCAUUCGUCUUUUGAAAAUCUGCUUCCUAACUCUCCUGUCAAACGAUAUGUUGCCGAAACUCCAGUGCUUGCAGGACCCUGUUUUGUACUUUUUAAGUAUCCUGCCAGUAUAGAUACUACAUUUGGUAGUUGAGGUCUCAAUACAUUGAAAAACCUUAUAACAAGAUCUACAAGAGACUGCGCUGCGGCAGCAGAAAUUUCAGGAUCCCAUGUACUUCCAUCAGGACGAGGAGAUUUCGCUGUUGGUGAAUCCUGUUUUACAGGAGAUGCACCAUUAAAUAAGGGGAGAACAACAGAGCUAAAAACACCAAUCCAGAAUGCUCGUGAGAAAAGAUGACCAUGACCCUUCAGGACGUUGAAAAGCACUUCCGUCGAACUCUUUCGGAUGGCUAACUUCGAGUCGGAUGUUAGUUCUGAUAAACCUGGAACAUCAUAUCAAAUUUCUAACAUUAAAACAGGAAACAAACUUCAUUUUUGGCAACAUUGAAGGAAACUAAAGGUGAUAACAAUGAACAAUCAUGUUCCCAUCCUGAGAGAAACAAAUAGCCUAUUUUGCAAUCCAUAUUCAUAAAAAUUGCUAUAAUAAAUGUCGAUAAUGGUAAUAAAAUGAUCGCAAAGUAAUAAAAAAAAAACUGUUGAAAACACACACGACUCUAUUAUAAUUGAAGUCUAAUAAAAGAAGUAUAGUCCUAUACGAAUUCAACUUGUGCGGUAUGGUCCAUACCGCAGAGACAGACAAUUGCAACCCCAGUCGAGUUUAGUGCUUAAUGGGGAUUUGUGGCGGUCUAUGGUCUCGGUCCUUCGCCCCCAUAGAUCCCCUUAUUUUGCCUCUCUAUUUUAUUUUUUAAAAAGUUACGGGAUUCGGGUCAAAUAACUCUUAACAAAAGUGUUAGCAAGUAGUAACUAGCAGAUUACCUGCUAGCAAGGGAACCCAAUAGGAUGCAUGAUCAUCACUAUCAGCGAAACUUUGUAGAUCUCUAUCAUUCUUAGUUACAGCUGAAACAGAUGAACCAUCGUCUGGGCUCUUAUCAGCGCAAACAAGGCCUCCCUCAGCAAGUUUGAUAGCACAAAACCGGAGAAAUCCAAUAGCAUUAAGGCUAAUAUCACUGUCAAACUUGCUAUUUGUGAACUUGAUGAGGCAUCGCACACAAUCACUAAAAGUAGAAGCGUCUGUCUCACUGAUAUGAGGAAAGUACUCUCUAACUAUUUUUUCCAUGGUCCCAAAAGCUAGCAGGACAAUAUUCUUCCGCUCAUCCACAGCAGCAGCUGUAAACACCUGAGAAAAUGAUAAACUUGUGUGAAAAUAAAAGCUGUUCCAGCUGCAAUGACAAUCGAAAUCAUGUAUGAGCAAUUAGCAUACCAUAAAGACACUUUUCCAUCCAGAUUUCACAUUACUGACGCGGCUGAGUACCAUCUGAGAAACGUAUCGAACUAUUAAUUCCCUUAUUUCUAUGGAGUUGCUUUUUUGCAUAACAAUCACAAAUGGUCUCAAAAAUUCAUUCUGGAAAUUGUAGUUUGCCAGCUCCUCACGUUCUAAGAAUUUCAUAGCAAGCUGCCGCAAGGAAUCCAUCACAAAGAUUGCCACGGAUAAAUUCUCGGACAGUCCAACAGAAACAAAGAAAUCAGAGAGAACAUUCCAUAUGCGAAACCAAACUAAUCUGAUGCGGUUCAUAUUGUAGUGCCUGCAACAUAAGAUUCUAGAAUAAGCAUUCUCCAUAGGCACAUAGAGGAGGGAUAUAGAGAGGGCUAGGGCAAUUUCAUCUCUGAAGCCAAAAACUGAUCUGUUGGAGCUAGAGCAUUAUAUGAAAUUUUCUAAAAGAAAAAGAUUAAGAAUCUUACGCAAUUUCAACUAGUUUUGUGAGGCUAAAAACUCGAGGGUCUGUUGGAGACUGCAACUCUGCUAUAGAAACCUUGCAAAGGGCCUUCACAAAAGCCACUAUUGCUUCACUGUUUAAUCUUUGGCUAUGUACAAAAACAUGGUUCAACUCGGAACUUCCUAUCUGUUCCAAUAAAUUCAAGUUUGCAAUGAAUUGAUUAAUCUGCUCUGGGGUUACCAGUCCUGAACUAUUGGCUCCAACAGCGGCACUGUCAUAUGACCCUCCUCGCACAAUUGCCAUUACAGCUGGAUUCUGGAGUGAUCCUUUUUUCUUCAGGGAUUGAAUACCAGAAGGUUUUGGAACCUUUUCAUCUAUUUCAGUGUUAGGCACGGAUAAAAUGGAUGUUUCGGUUGAUGAACCUUCUCCCAACAGUUGCAAAUGCUCAACUCUGGACAGGCAUGUCAAUAUAUGCUCCCAGGAUUCCUGAAGAUGGUUACCAUCUUCAAUGGCAAUAGAUAUUAUUGCCUAUAUUGUAAAAUAUUUCAAAAGGUGAGUAAAAAGAACACGUCACAGAAACUUAGAUUUGAUGCAAUAUUUUUCACAAUUAGGCUAAGUGGUUCUACUCAAGUGACUAGACUAUCAAUGUUCCACAACCAAGCAAAAGCCAACAAUAAGGAACUGUAAAACAUAAAAACAUAAAGUACAGGAUAUGAAUUGUAUUGUCUCUGUGGUGCGAGGCUGUGCAUGCAAACAUUGAGAUGCUGCAAUUCUUUCUUGUGUGAUAUAGCAUAUAAGAAAACUAGGGGAAAGAUUCGAUUCUUUGUUAUCAUGUGCAAACAAAAACCACUUACUUUUACGGCAUCAACAUUCUUUUGUUUCAUGUCUGCAGCACAAUGGAGAAAAGUGAACUUUGCCGUUGAUGUGACAAAAGCAUCUCUCUGCGUCUGCAUUCCCAUUACGGCAGUUACAUGCACAGCAUGUCGAAAGCCCUGUAAGCAUUGAGUGGUAGCAAUUCUAUCAUCACUCUGGUCAAGAGUGACACUGUAUGCAGCCAGCAUAGGUCCCCAGCAGACCUCCACCAUAAACCUCAAGAUUGCUACAUCUGAAACAGAAUGAUAAACAGACCUGCAACAGCAAAGACAAAAGGUUACUAAAUAUUAUGCAGGUCUUCUGGAAAAUUUGGGAUGACAAAUUAACAAAAAUCAAUUAAAGCAGGAUGGAGAUCAUAUAUCGAGGCAGGUACAAGGACUGAAUCUUCUUCGAUUAAUGAUGCAUGUCAUUCUCUUAUCAAAUUCUAUUCCCGACAAGAAACAAAAAUCAUAUGAAUUCAUUUCCCAACUAACAUAUAUCAAAACCCGUGACAUGCAAAAAAUGUAUUACAACAUUUCUACUCAUAUACAAAAACAUGUAAAAAAACUCAUCUGAAGCUCUCGGAUAUAUGGUAUGGAGGAACAUAAAACUAACCAAUUGAGACUACGAUUCAUUACAUAAAUUUGACUUAUUAAAGUGGCAAACAUCUAUUAUUAGAUUAAAACUUACUCUGAUUUUCCCGAAUUCUCCAAACCAACCAUCUUAAAAAGGAAUUAGAUUUAGACUUACUCUGAUUUUCCCGACUUUGCCUUAAACUGCUCUUGGAUUUGUCUUAUAAGAAGCCCAUUUGCACCCAAUGCCUUUUCUUCUGUUUGCUUCCAAGUCACCAAAUUGAGUAUACCAUCCAAACCCAAUAACUUAUUUAAGCUGUUCGCCUGCAUGCUUUGAGGAACAGAAGAAUCUGCAUUCAUCUUGAUUUCAUUAUUCACAAUUUGAUCAUAAAGAGCACCAAGAUACUCCUCAGGUAAAUCUUUGCCAUCAUCUAUUCCUCGAUUGUUUCGAAUGAAAUCAGACUUGUUCAUCUGAAUACGGAAACAACAUAAAACAGAAAUAAGAGCAUAAUCAAUUCAUUUGUAAAUUUAUCUAUGUAGAUCUGAAAAAAAAAAAUUUGCAGUAGUACAGGCGGGAAAUUCCAUAUUACUGACGGUAUGAAUUUAAAGCACCAGAAUGGCUUACAAGUCCCAGAAUAGAUCAUAAAGGAGUUCUUCAAAAGACAAGUAUAUGCAUAAGCAUGUAAGCUAAAGCUCACAAUUUGAUAACGUGCUGAAGAAACAAACCUUGUCUUUGACCAUGCUAUUAUGGGCAUCAGUGUUGAGCAUUAUGACAGAGUAUGCCAGUACAUAGGCAGUAUCUGCACUGGUAAAUGAGCUAGGAUUACAUUUACAAUAGCGCUCAGCAAACUUUUCCAUGAUGCGGUCAAUUUUCUGUGCUUCUCCUGGUAACCUGAAGCCUUGUAGGAAGAACCUUAUCGCUUCACCAAAAUCCAUAGAUUUGAAAUCAAAGGAAUCCACAUAAGCAUGCAUAACUUUCAAAGCAAAAUCCUCCCUUUCACCCAAAUAAUCACCAAUCAUGGCUUCAUUCAACCCAGUAGUGUUACUCUUCAGAAAAGCGGCCACUUCCUCUGGAGAGUUGCCAACCUUUUUGGUAUUUAUAAGAAACUCAAUGCCUUUGGAUGGCUUCCUGUUAAACAACGAAACACCUUUCUGCAUAUAACCAAGUAAAACUGUCACUAAAACCAAGCUUGUGAAGAAAAGGAGAAAACUAAAAAUAUAUUAAGCUAUAUAAAAAUACGUGACAGAAGAGAAGCCAAUAAUGGCAAAUUCUCAUGAUAUGUUAAAGCAGCCCUCUCCAAUAAUUUGGAUACUUAAUAAGUAUGAAGUACAUGAAAACACAGUCGCGCUUGAUCCCAGCUAACCUGAAGUUCAAUCUUGUAAGCCCGCCGUUGCUCAAGUGUAGCAGCAUUUGACAAUUCAGAAUUCAUUUCUGGUUGCAACUCGCAAUCAGAGACUGUUCCAUCUUCUGCAGUCAAAGUUGAAUGGCCCUCUGCUGCAGUGUCACUCUUGAAGCUCUUACGCAAGUCAGAAUCACCUAUUGUCAGCUUUUGGUCCAUCCAAGCUCCCAUUGACUUAAUAAUGCUAACCAAGCAAUUUACUGAUUCAUGCCGGAAAGUUAUAUCCUGGACUGCAGACAAAGUAGUUGUUGAAGCAGGUGGCGGUCCUAGAGCUGUUUUGAGAAGGCCGUUGACAAUCCUGCAAAUAUCUGAGGGAAUUAUAAGAGUUUUAAUACAUUUUUAUAAAGUGCAACACGUUCAUAAAUAAAAAAAGAAUGGAAUUUUUAAUAAAACAAAAUACAUUAGAAGGGAUGCUAAUGCAACCUCUGAGAACAACACGAAACGACUGGUUCUUGAGUUAAUUCCUGGGUUGAUCAACCCUCUUUUGCAAAAUUUGAGAAUUUGGUUUCAAAUUCAGAUCAUUUUACAUAUGAAUGGAUAUAAAGAUUUUUAAUACUACAUUUUACUAAAGUUUGAUUUUGAGGAAAAAGGAAAGUGAAUUGAAAUAUUACAUCAGAAAAGAAGCUAAAGCAUGAACUGGGAACAUCAAAGAAUAAUUUCCGCUUGAGUUAAUUCCUAUUUGACCUACCUUUUGUAAAAAAUUGAGACAAGGUUUCGAAUUCGUAUAGGAUUUCAGAUAUGAUUCGUUGGAUACUUAUCUUGAAAAUAUGACAUCAUAAACUUAUUUGAUUUCAUGAAAGCAGCAUUCAUGUUAAACACUCGUACGAAAAAUUAUUAGGGGGGGAAAAUUACCUUUCAAAUAUGUUUGGUGAAUCCACAUCGCAGUCAUAAUUCACGAAUAUAUCAAUGAUAAUCUGUGAAUCCGCAGCAAUCUUUUCCAACAGAUUAAGGACUGUCAUUUUCUGUACAAAACUUGGCUGUAAAACAUUCUCUAGAACUCGGAGGAUAAGCAUGGGAAAGAAUAUUCCAAUUUCAUCUUUCAACCCUGUUCUAUAUUUCGUUAGCAGGCUCAUAAAAAUACAACUUUGGAGCUGGAAAAUUGACAUCACUGACAAGGCACUGUUUUUUAACAAUGAUAAGCAGAGAUACUGCUUAAUUACGUUAAGAAACCUGCAUUUUGUAGCACAGAAUAUAAGAACAUUAGAAUAAAUUUAACUGAAGACUGCAGAAAAAAGAGUUAUUUAUCACCAACACUACACGACAUACCAAGCAAGAUGAUGAUGAUGAUGAUGAUGAUGAGUUGACAUUGGUUUUCGGAGCUCUUUCAUUUAAUUUUUGAAACUAGCUCAAUAAAUUAUUCUUUUUCAUAUUUAUUCAUGAAAAUCUCACUACUUAAAAGCUAUGUGCUUGAAACAGGUUCAUUCAGGUUUUUCUUUUAAGUUUCCCUCCAUCAAGACCCCCAUAAUAAUGAAAUAUGGGGUGUUGGAUGGGUCACGACAUGUUUUUUUUUUCCUAACAUUUUUUUAUAACUAGGUUGAGAUUGUAUUUUAUUCUCUUUACUGAACAAAUAAGUUAAUUAGUCUAUAAUAGAGUAAACUAAUUUUUUUAUUAAAAAUUUUAUGCAUUUUGUUGUUAAAAAUUAGUCUAUAUAUGUUAGCAUGAUUAUUCCAUUAAUCACACCAAUUUUAAUAAUAUAAAGGGAUAAUUUUUUAAUAAAAAAGACUAAUUUAAUUUUUAAUCUACUAAUUUAUUUAAAUUUCUAAUAAAAAAUAUAAUUUCACACCUCUAGAACCUCCGUAAUAUAUUUACUAUUAAACUCACUAAAUCUAAACCCAAAGCAUAUAUGGUGACGAUUGUUAGGAAAAAAUCUAACAAAGCCCAAAGUAUAUAUGGUGACGUGCAAACAACCAUAAUUAUUUUAUAUAAAAUCAGAACCCUACGUGAAUAAAGUAGUAUAAAAUUACUUGCCUAACAUUCGAGCGCCAAAUGGAACCCCCAUUAUCCAUAACAGCCUUGAGGAGCUCCAAAGACAGCGUUUUCCCUCUUAAAAGGAUCUGAUCAUCAUUCUCCUGUGAUGAAAACUUCAUUGACAACUUACACAAAUUCUUAAAAACAAGAAAGCCGUCCUCCCUAAUUUUACUAACCCCACCGGAACCCGAUUCCACCCCCCCUUCCUUCGCCUCUAACUCCCCAAUUUCCUCCUCUUCCCAUUUCGACGUCUUCAACUCAACAUUUUGCAGCUCCUGAUCCUUACUCGGCUGCGAUAGCUUCAAAUCUGGAACCCCUUCACUGGCACUCAUAACCUCGCUAACAAAAUUCUGACAAUGAUAAAUUGAACUUCCUUCAUUUAAAUUCUUAUCACUAAACUCUAAAAGCUCACUAACCGACACUGUUUUGAUAGAAACAUCAAUGGAAUCUUCUUCCGCUCGGGUGAAUACAAUUAGCAUAAUCUGAGCCAAAACGGACUUAGCACAGAUUUGAUUGGUUCCACUCAAACCGCGUAAAUAUACGUUAUAACAAGUUCUAACGACGUUGAGCAAGCAAUCACCACGGAUCAAAACGCAAGGACAUCGGAUGGCGGAGAGCAAAACUCGCAGCACGGCGAGCUCGAGCGAUUCCUCCCCGAUGCCGCCGACUUUGCAAACGGCUUCGACGAUUUUGUAGAGGAUCGGAUUGGAAACGUUGCCAUGGAUCUCGCCACGAGCGACGCCGAGGGAGAAUAAUUUGAAGGUGCAUUCGAGGGCGGGCUCGGCAACUUUGACGUAGUUGGUUUCCAAGGCGAGAAGGAUCGGGUUAAGGACGAAGUUGGCAUCGGAAGAUGAAAUGCCGAGCAGCGGUGAAGUCGGAUCGGACAAGCCGGUGUCGGAGAGGGUCUCGAGCUUGUCGAGAGCGGAUUUGCAUGAGGAAACGAGGUGCGUGUGUUUUCGCCAUGCGGCAUUUUUUAUGAUCUUGUCGAGCGGUGGGCCUAGCACACGGCCGCACCUCGACGGUCCUCCGAGCGUCUGGGAAGCUAACAUCACCGUGUUAUUAUUAUUACAAUUUGAUUAUUCAGAUCUCUGGAUCUGAUCCGAGUGUUAAUUGCAUUGCAAAUUCAUCGGAAAUUGAAAAUGCGUGAGAUAAUGAGCCUUGUUUUUUUUUUGGACCACUGACCAAUUCUUCUUGCUGGGGGUUGGAAUUUGAUUUGCCUAAGGGGAGCAGAGCCGAUAAAUGUGUGCUUGAUCGAGCUUUAUGGCCAAUUAAAUAUUAAAAAAAUGCAUUCAAAUUAUUAUUUUUUAGACAAGUUUUUAUUUAUUUAUUACACUUAAAUAAGUCAUUAUGAUUUGUGUUUACGGUUUUAUUUCAAAUAAAAUAUUAAUUUAUUUUAUAAAUACUUAUUAAUUCCAUCCCUUUUUUCGUCGAAAAAAAAAAUUCCAUCCUUUUAUAAAAAUUUAGUCUUGUUGGAUAACAUUACUAAAUUUUUACGGUACAUCACUUACCUAUUAAUCAAUAUUUCAAGUCAGUAAAACUAAAAAAUUCAACGAUUUAUAUAUAAUAAAUUAAUAAAAUUUAACAAUUUAAGUUUCAUAUAUUUACUAAUUAUUUGACUAGCCUAAUUAUUAUAUAAUUCAAUGAUCAAAUUAUGAUAAAUUAAAGUGUAAAAACUAAUUUCUUUUUUUUUCAUAAAGUAAGAAGACGAGUUAAUUAAAUCAUCAGUUUAAAUAUAAAUUAAAAGUUAAAUCACUAUAUAUAUGUAAUAGCUCGUUUCUCCGUGGUUUCGGAUCAUAAAUCCAAAAAAAGAGUCCGUAAAUAUUAUUAUUUAAUAUUUACGAGUCAAAUAUAGUAUUAUAGUAAAUUCUGAAUUUAUAAUUUUAGUUAAUUGAAUGAUUAGUUAAGUUCAACUGGGUUAUCUCUAAAAUCAAGUAAUUUUAGAAAAUAAGAUAUCGGGGUCUCGUAUAUAUAAACCAAGCCCAUAAAUAUUCUUAUUGAAUAUUUAUGAAGUGAUUAUAUAGGUGUAUUAAAAUUUGGUUAGGUAAUUUUGAUGUUUAGUUAGUUAAUUAAUGGAAAAUGAUUAAAUUGUAAAAGGUGGAAAUCAACUGUUAUUUUGUGUGCAAAUGUCAUUUGAAGGACCUAAUUUAGGUGAAUCAGAUCAGAUUGGAUCGCGAAGAACGUCGAUCGUCAACACGGUGAAAGGUGUGUGUUCUUUUACGAGCGGAUUGGGGCAAACCGUACCUAGAAUUAGGGCCACACGGUCUGCCACAUGGGCAUAUGGACCACACAAGUAGGUCACACGGCCCCUCACACAGCCAUUUACCUCUGAAACCUAAGAUAGUUUGAAUCUCACACGGUCAUGAAACUGCUUGCCAGGCUAAUUUACCAAAAAAAGCCACUUUUUUUAAAAAAUUACCGAAAUGGGCCAAUUUUUUAAUUAUUUACCGGAAUGGGCCAUUUUCCCCGAAAUCGCGUCCACGUCAGCGCGAUGUCAGGGUACGUGACAGGACAUCGCGUCCACGUCAGCGCGACUUGUUGACGUGGACGCGAUGUCCUGUCACGUACCCUGACAUCGCGCUGACGUGGACGCGAUUUUGACGCUGAUUUUACGUUUGGGUUUUAUGGCUUUUAGGGUUUAGGGUGCAGGCUUUU
This 74540-nucleotide long non-coding RNA is filed under the name Gossypium raimondii (Peruvian cotton). RNAcentral's name for it is "long non-coding RNA (GRAI_LNC004213)". The stretch from base 74365 to 74474 matches the Rfam family "MIR7486 microRNA precursor family". The record is from RNAcentral. Lineage: Eukaryota; Viridiplantae; Streptophyta; Magnoliopsida; Malvales; Malvaceae.